Molecule: long non-coding RNA, 44836 nt
Filed under: Xyrichtys novacula (pearly razorfish)
Lineage: Eukaryota; Metazoa; Chordata; Actinopteri; Labriformes; Labridae
Source: RNAcentral
CAGGACUUGAGGUAGGUGUAGACAAAUCUGAUGAAUUACUAAAAGUCAACAAACUGCUAUGACUGCAGUCACCUUUAACAUGAGAGCAUUUCAAUGUAAGCUGUCAAAGUGUAUGCCUUUGCAUUUACCUUAAAAAUAAUUUCCAUGUAACUCAACAUCUGGAAGAAAUAUAUAAAUGACAUUGGGUAGAAUCAGCAGGAUUUAUAUCAUUUUUAUUAGCUGUAAACUUUUGUUAACUUUGCAUGAAAAACAGUCCCUCGAGUGACUACAGUUAUUCUUUAAAUGAGAGGGCACACAGCACCAUAAUUGAAAGCUCUAUCACUCAACACUUCAUUACAAAUAUGUAGCAGGUGUUCAAGUUUUUCUCCACCUCUCCAUGUGAUAUUUGAUUCAGCUGUUGUUUUGACCUAUGGGCAAUAUGUAAAACCUAAACAAUGUUAUGAUGGCCUAAGACAUCUUUUGAUUCAAUGUUGAUUGAUUUCCCAUCAGAAUCAUCAUUAUUGUUGAUGUUGAAAUUUCAAUUCAAAAUCAAUGUUGUUGCAAUGUUAAGAAAAAACAAUGGAAACUGAUGAUAAAGUAACAAUGAUAGCAGCGGUGUUGAAAAACAUUGAUCUACAGUUGUCCUCGUUAUAAUUGAUUUUACAUCAUGACAAUGACCCUGAAAAGAUGUUGAUUCAAAGUUGACCAGGAGAUACUGACAUGAUUGAGAAGUCAUUGAUUUAUGGUUAAGCAGGAGACAAUCCUGUGGUAAAAUGCUAUUCAUCCAGUCAUCUCUCCGUAUCAGGUGAGCACUAUAAAAAAGGAUUCUUACUUUUUGUCAGCAAAACAUAAUAUUUUAAGAUGUGUUAGCUUAAAGAAAUUAAUUUGUCAGAGGAAGUUAAAACUUUAUAUUGUUCUGAGUAUUGCAAUAGCAAGUUGCCACAACUUGAUCUUUAAAUGAAACUUUUUGAAACUUUUUUGUCAAGUUUUCAAGAUCACGGGGUGUGAGAAUGAUUGACAGCCCCUGCUGGUUCAACCUGUACAUUACACUAUUAACCUGUGCAGGGCCUGCCUUGAUGUUACUUCGGAUUGGAUUUGUCAGAAAAUGGGAAUAGACUUUUUUUCACAGUACGCGGAAGCUAACACCGGAAGUGAGCAGAAUGUUCACUUCCGGUGUUAGCGUGUGGUGGAGCCACUUAGCGUCGCCCAUGGACGGCCAUUCAUUUUUCACGAUAUUAACAAGCUCACGACUCGUUUUUUUUGAAAGGUAAAGUAAAAUUUUAUGCUUUCUGUUUUACUUACUCCUGUUCUUCAUAAUACUGUCCGGAACUAAGCAGAAUGCUAACUUCCGCGUACUGAGAAAAAGGUCUAUUUAUAUAGUUCCUACUGCUUUAUGAAAGUCUACUUAUAAGUACAUAAAAUCUGUAUAAACAAGAUUUAAUGACAACCUCACCAUCACCAAGAUGAAUUUUACUGACGUACUGGUUGCUAUAAACUCAGUUUUCACUUUGAUGCCUGUUCAGAAAAAAAAUUAAACUAAUGUCAAUACCACUGGAUGAUUUGGAUGAUGAGCUGUUGUCAAUUUUCAUUUUGCAGUUUGGAACUGAGAGAUUGCUGCUUAUUUUUUUGCCUCUUCACCUGUUACCUCAAACACCCGAGGACGAGACAUCUUCAGAAGUUGGUGCAUCAGAUGCAGCUAACCGCUUGAUGAAAUUCAUACAGGUACGUUCUUAGAAAUGUAAAAUAUAUCACUCUACCUGUGAGUUUCAAAGGUCAGCUCAAUUUUUGACUGAGCUAGUGGCUUAAUGUGAUUUAGAUUUAGUUGUUUGUUUGUUUUUUUCCCACCAGAUGAGCAUAGUGUUUCAGCAUUUUAUUUUCUUUAAAAUUGUGGCACUCCAAGACCAAAAUCAACUGGAUAUAGGGUCCGUUAUUAACUGUUAAACUGUAAUAGGAGUUGGUUGUGUACUGGAUUACAUUGUAUUGAAAGGUGUUCCUAAUAUUUUGCCCCCCCCCCCCCCCCCCCAUGUUUUUUUAAAAAGUGGUCAAAAUAUAAGGAACACGAUUUAGUAUAGAGCACUCCAGUACACCAUGACCACAUACAAGAAGAACAGAUGGCACCUUUCUCACCAUGUCAACAAAAAAUGCAAAUUCUGAAGCUUUCUGAUUGUAGAAUUUGAGGUAGAGCUGUAAGAUUAUAUCUAUAUGUUGUGUAUGCCAUCCUUUAAUGGCAGUGACAUGUUUGGUUCCUGUAGAGUAUGAGGGGGUAAGCAAAUGGGUCAUGGUGCUAAAGACUGAGGAUGUCUACAGUAACCUUAAAUGUUUAGGUGGAGAUAAUUUGAGUGACAGUAUUUUCGGGGAAGUGCUUCAAAGUGUAUUUUAGACUUGAAUUCAUGCUGGAUGAUAUCUCUUAGUGGAGAUAUCUUUUCUUUGUUAGUGCUGGCAAAUUUGAUUAACUUCUAAUGUCAUCUCAUGUCUCAUUUAAGGCCUUCUCUAACUCCUCCUCCUUAUUUCUCUGAAAAUGUUAGACUCAUUUUUCAGUUUAUGUGUGUGUUUUAAACAUGCUUUUUAGAAUUUUUAUGAGUGUCUACGAAUAUAAAAUAUUUUAAUAUGUUAUGUGGUAAAUGAUCCAGAUAUUGCAGGUACAGUACAGCUAUGCUGCUCUGUACAAGUAUCAUGUUUCACUUGUCAUCCCAGACUGUCAGAGCAGCCCUUUACUCAAUAUCAGGCAGUGAUUAGAUCUCCAAGGAAUAUGAGAAAACAAAGUGUCUCUCUAAUAGCGCAAGAAGAAAGAUAGUGAGCAUACCUGUGGCAGACAUGGUGGUGAGUCAUGGGUGUGUGUCGAUUUAGGAUUAGGACUAAGUCCUAGUAACCUUGUGUUAACUGUUAUUUUAGUGUUUUGUUGAAAUCAAGUUAAACAUCAUGGUAAAGAAGGUUUAGUGUAGUCUGAUGCCUGUGAUAAAUUUGAGUGGUUUGUGUAGGUUGAGCCAGUGAAAUACAGAGAUUUCCUGACAUUAGGAUGAAUGGCUGGACAUGUCAGGAAAUGGGUAGUGUGGAAAUGUCACCAAGUAGUGCAGUGGUUGGGCAUGGAGCGAUGCUGAGGCUGAGGAUGUCAGACAGCUUGCUCAUGACCUUCAACCAGAAGGUUUGAACAUAUGGACAGAUCCAGAGGGCGUGGAAGUAGUCAUCUGUUUUGGUUGGGCAGUGUGGACAGGUGUUAUUUUGGCUGAAACCCAUGUGAUACAAUUUGUGAGUGGUGAGGUGGGUUUUGUACGGUAUUUGCUGGGUUUUGGAGUUGAGUGGUUGAUGUAUUAUUGGACAUAUUGUGCCAGUUGAAGUCUGUUGAAAGGUUGCUGAUGCCUGAGGACCAUUUUUCUGACUUUUUUUUAUUUUUAUCUUUAACUCAAUUUACUGAAAGAAGCAGUGGUCGGGAAUCUUGUAUUUCUUUUAUUUGGUUGAAGGUCAUGAGCAAGCCGUCAUGGAGCAGAUGUCCCAGUCUGGCUACUCCUCUCUGGGUUUUCCAAUAGAAGUCAGGGAGCCCCAGCCAAGGGGUGGGUUGAUAGGAGUCAUAGCAAAGGGGUAGUUGAGUUUUGGAAAGAUGCACUUGUGCUAGAGGGGUACAGUUAAACUUAAAAUAGGUCAUUUAAAUUUGAUGAGAUUAAGAUACCAAAGCAAGCAAUACAUUUGGCGGUAUGUAUCAGAAAGGGAUCACCAGCUCAAGCAUCCUAGUCAUGUUUGGUUACAAGCAGAAUCUCAGAUUUUGUCCAUCUGAUAGAGUAGCCAGACACCAUACUGUAGUUACUGCAUAUUAUGGACUGAUGGAAGCAAAGAUGUGGGAUUUGUAAUGUAAAGUAGUAUGUCAUCAGCAAAGAGACUGAUUUUGUGAUGGUGGGAUUUUGAUUGGGUGCCUGUGAUAUGUUUACAUUGUCUGAUGGAAGUAGCCAGAGGUCCAGCAAAGAGAAGUGAGGAUAAUGGGCAUCCUUGUCCAGUAUCUCUCUGUGACUGAAAAGCUUUUGAAACCAGUCCAUUAGUUAUUGCAGAUGCAGUGGGUGAGUUGUUCAGUGUUUUAAUCCAGUUGAUGAAAUAUGGUGGUCAAGGGAGGUGAAGAGAGAGGACCAGUCUAUCACAGCAUCCAGCGUUGCCAUGGCAAAUGGUGAGAUGUUGUAUGGGGGGCUGUUUUCGUGAAAGUUGAUCAGAUUGAAAAGUCUCUGAGUGUUUUGUGAAGAAUGCCUCACUUUGAUGAAACUGCUUUGAGUAGUUAUUUGUGACUAAUGGACUUAUUCAUCAAGAAGCAGUCAGAGUAUGAUUUAUGGUGGGGUGAGUGGUAGGUAUAUUGGUUAUUGCUUGGGUUGUUUAGUCUCCAAAUAGCCAUCAGUCCAUAAUCUGAUGUGUAUUGUUUCAACACAAAUGUAGAUUGGUUGGAUUUGGAAGUGGGAUCGAUCAUUAGAUGGGUCUAAAACUGUGUUGUAAUCGCUGCCUGGGAUGAUGUGUGAGUGAGGGAAGUUAGAUGGUGCUGUGAAUAAAGAAUGAAAAAAGGAGGGAGAGUCUGAGAUGAGUGAGAAUGUCUUUUCCAAUUGUUUCAGGGAUAAUAAUAUAGCAGCUCUCUGGGUCUAUUAGAGUUGAAUUGUGGGUAAAUGGGAUGUUUUUGCUGAUUAGAAUGGAGACACAAGGUUUUUUGGAGCUGUAUGUAGAGCAAUAUGUCUGGUCUAUCCGUUUGUCUGUAAGCUUCUGAGAUUCUGCCUCUGUUAAGUGAGUUUCUUGAGGAAACAGACACCAGAUUGAAGAUUUCUAAGGUGGCUGAUAAUUUUUGUCCUUUUUGGAGAUCAGGAGAGCUGAUUCCUCUCAUGUUAUGUGGUUUAAUUUUCACUGACAGAACCAUGUUCUUGUUAUUGUACAACACUGGGUUUGGUUACACAAUGUGCAGGAAGUAUGCAUAUGGAGUAGGAUUAUGAGUAUGAUAAAUAUGGCACACAAGACAGAAUCAACUUUUGACAUAAACACAAAAAUGUACAAAUAUUAGGAAAAUAUUCACGGGCUGAGAGGAGAGCAGAGUGCCACUGAAGACUCAGCCUUUUGACUACAUUACUGUUUUACAUUACAACUUGUUUAUUGUUUGUAAUCCUCACACUUUCACUCCAACAGGGACUCAUUGAAAGACUUGUUUUGAGAUGCUGGCCUAUGCCAGUUACUAUUCAACAUGCAAGCAUAACCCUGUUGUAAAUUUUAUUCUACACCUAGUGUGGUAGAAAGACUAUCACUUCAUUCCCUGGUUUUAUUUUAAAGCAGGUGGUUUGGUAUUCAAAAGUCUGCUGAGUGUUUUUUUUUACGAGACUGGCUGGAAUUUAACACAACACUGGGCAACACAGCCCUUUGUAGACUAUACAGAGAAUACACAAAUUGUAAUAAUGCCAAGGUUUUUAUCGUUAUUUUGAUAAAUAACUCAAAAUUGAUUUCAGAUGAGUUUUUGUAGUUUUAAAAUUCACGAGGUCAAAAUGCUUCAUGAAAUUAUGUGAGAGUACUGAUUAAAGCAGCCUGUUGCCUUAGAGUAUCGCCAUACAUUUUAUAUUCAAGACGGACCUAUAAAAAUGCUAGAAUUUAUGAAGUAUGACAAAAAUGUUUUUUUUUUGCCAUAAUUAUGUACAGUAAUUCAAAUUUUUGUUUUUUUUUAGUUUUAUUCUAUUGUUUCUGUGCUUUCUUUUCACUCAGACAUAUGUACUAAUAGGGCCCCAUUGUACAGAUCCCUGUGAAGAGCAGGCUGAACUAGCUUCUUGUUGGGGGUGGUGACAGCAGAGGGUAGAGUGAAAAAAUCUAAUAACCUACUUUUAUGAUGAGAUAACUUUCAACAGUACAUAUAAAUAACAUAUUGUGGUUGGACUGCUGUUUGUAAAAAUGAAAGACGUAUAUCUACAUUUUGAAUUUUUGUCACCCUUUCCAAUUUUAAUCUAUUCUUCAAGUGGUUAAAUUCCCAGACUAAACUUGGUCCUAAUAAAAACUUUGCUCUAAUGAAAGAAAUAACUGUCUGUGAAUAUUCAGUCCAAAUUAGGUGUUACCCUGAGCUUGUUUUUCAGAGAUAAGUGUGAUAAAGCAGACACUGUCCUUUUCAGAGAAGCCUUUAUUUUUGCUUUUUGGUAAUAUCCAAAAAGCAACCACAAAAAAGUAAUUUUGCAGUAAUAUCUUUUUAUACAAUCACCCACUUCAUAAACUAGAAAUGUUGAAGUUGUGAAAAAACAUGGUUGUGCUUUGUCCUAUCCCGGUUAGGGAAUUUCUCAAAGACAAAAGCCUUUAUGUGGGUUAGUUCCUCUACUAUUUAUCAAGAUCGACUGAAAGUUUGGUUGAGUUAAAAUUUUCAUGAUGGUGACCACGGUCCAUAGGCUUCAAAAAUAGACUACAGAAACCAUUGGAUGGUGUCUUGGAUACAUAUGCAGUACAUGUUCUCUGAAACUUAGAAAUAAAUGACUAUAUCUGCAUCAUUAUUAACAUCUUGUUUCAAGGUACUGACCUCUACCCAGGCCUCUGUAAUGCAGUGUUGUGUUUUCAUGAUCCAUGUAAUACUUAGGAUCACAACUCACAGAGCGACAAGCAGUCAGCUCUGCUUCCUUUGCAAGCUCCGAUUGUGAAAUGAUUAAUCAGCUUCUGUUCUGAACAGAACGUCUGUUUUUUUGUGUGUAUUUUUUCCACCAUUACAUGUGCCAGCAUGAUAAUAUCUGAACACAUUUCUAUACAUAUGGAACAUCCAUUAUUAGAUGCGUUCCUAUGGAAAUGAAAACAGGAAACUUUGCCCUUGGAAAUAUGUCAAUUUUCUGUGAUUACAGGAUGUGUUAGCAAUGCAGCUGAAUGUAUUUAAUGAGAUGAAUAUAUUUAUUUAAUGUUGUUUAUUCGUCUGUUUAUGCUAGAAAUGAAUGCAGUCAUACAUUCACUUUGCACAGCUCUUCAACAGAACGCUCUGUGUAUAUUUGCGACAUUUGGCAGAACAGGUUUCUUGUAUAUUUGCAGUAAAUAUGACAUGGAGUUACAGUUUGAUUGUAUUUUCUAGUUAUAGGUGUUUUUGUUCUAAAUCCCCUGCAAAUCCCAUAGUCAUUUCUACAUUUUGUUUUGCUAUAUUUUGUCAUAUCCAUUCUUUCUACUGACACAGGCGUACUCCCUGUCAGCUAGUGCCUCCACAUUGCUCAGGAGCUCAGUGAAGCUGGGUCUGUCUUCGGUGACAUGUGCCAUCAGCAGUGCAUGACUGUGGAGAAAUCUGUUGAGAGCUACAGGGCACUGUACUGAAUGGUUCCCAUUGAUCUACAUUUGCCUGACACUGUGACUGACAGAGCCAAUCAGCCUAUCAUGGCCCUGGAGACGGACAGACACUCAUUUACAGGUGAGAUGGGUUAGGAUGAGUUUGAUUGAUUGGCAGACUGUCACCAAGCCACUGGGGCAUUUCAAAACCAUCUCUGCACAGUGGGAGAGCAAUAUUAUGUUGGCGUAUGAGUGUGUAUGUGUUUGCGAGUGCAGGUGGUCAGCCUUGUACAGAUUACCCAGUGCACCUUGAGUGUGUUGACAGGUAAAGGAUCAGGCUGUCAGAUUGGCCCCGCCCACAUCUUUAGAAACUGGUGACGGGGAUAAUGCCAGGAAAGAAUCAUAUACAGUCUUUGCAUGGAUGCAGACCCAUCAAAGUACACACAUACACGCCUUCAAGAUGUCUCUCUCAUCUGCAGAUGUAUUUAUAUUAGAUCUCUCUCUCUCUCUCUCUCUCCAUCUCCUCCCUCUCUCCAUCCUGUGGUGUAGUGUUGGAUCCAGCAGUGCCAUUACUCAAACACAGCUUGUCAGCACAGAUAACAGUUGUUUGUUGUUUAACACUAUACAGAGCGUUGCAUUGCCAGUCAAAGUCUAAAAAAAAACAACAUUCUUUAUUCCCUCUAUUUUUUUUUACAUGAUUUUACAUUCAGCAUAUUCAAAGCUGGCUUGAACAGGCUUCAUGUCUUACACCAGAAAUUAUUUUUCCUUUUUGUCAUAUCGCAAAAAUCACAAUUAAUGGAGGGGAAAUGUAUUUCAUGCGAAAUGCUUCUUCAGCAUAUUUAGAUAUCAAUCAAAGUACAGAGGAAGGGUGUCUUGAAUAGCCUAAUUUUGUUCAUAUAUUAACCACCUGUUCCUCAGUCUAUAUUUCGUUUACAGUAUGUCUUUGGUUUGGGGACCUGGAUCUUUGUUCUGGUGGGAAGUCAGUGUGACAUGGUUUUAAAUCACCCUGUUAUUCAGAGUGCAAAUACUGCCCUCAUGUGGCUGAGCUUUGUUUGUCAAGCAGAGACAACUGAUGAACAUACAAAUUCCUACAACAGUUCCUAGAAAAACAGAAGGCGCAAAAAGUAGGUGUUAAAAUGUGUAAGUCCUCAGCAAUGAACCAGUUAAUGCCCAGAGAGAGCUGAACCAUCAUAUAAUGAAAGUAAUAAUGCAGGUUUGUUGGCCACUAACAUGCCCUUGUUUUGUAUUUUUUAUUCAUAUGAUUUAAAUUCGAUUAAAGCUGAUUGUGCUUGUGAUUUUUUUGGUCUUUUUUCUUCAUGUACCGCUGCCUUGAUACCUUGUUUUUGUUUUGUAUUUUUGACAGGAAGCUGUAAUUUGUGUUUUUACUUUUAUGAUGAAUUCUGUGACUAAAGGGGGACUUAUUUUCUUUAGGAGUAGUGUAUGUAAAAGAGGAAGUGUGAAAAUUCUCCUACUGAUCUGAAGAAUGUAAAACUACAAUCCAGGUAUCCAUGUCAAUAUGUUUUCAUGCAAUUUGUUUCCACUUCUUCAAGUAAAAUGAAUGUAGCCUUUAUAACAUUUACGUGGUGUUAUAAAAUUUAUGUAUUUUAAUUAUUUUUUUGUACCAACAACAGUUUACUGAACAUCCAACCUUCUGGCCAAUGGGAAUAAGACUGCUGAUUUCCUCCAUCUUCCACUCAAGGAAACAGCGGCUUAUCAAGUGCUGUUUUAAGUUUAAUGAUUUUAUCCUUGAUUGCUAAAAGAGUGGAAAAACACACACAGGCGACUCCGUUGUUACUCCAUUGUCAGCUUGUCGAGGCUGCACUUGUUUUUCUUCUCUGUAUAUAAUUGCAUACCACCACCUGCUAUGUUGAAGUAUACAUGCUUGUCAGUAAGUGCAGGAAAGCAGCAUUUACUGGUUGUUUAUACAAGAUUGUAUUUUCUGAAUAAUGUGUUUCACGAAAUUGCUGAAUGACACAUUACUCCAUGGUGACAAAUUUUACAGAUAUUUUUGUCUGGGUUUUGGCGAGAUCUCUGAUAAAUUCAUAAUGCAGGUUUCCAUUAAUGUGUAAUGGGGACCCUGCAGCCCACACAAUGAGAGACAUUAUUGAUGAAAAGUCUCGGCUGAGCUGCAUACUGCAUGAAUUGUUUGCAGUGUCUCUCUCUCUGGGUGGUCUGGUUCAUCUACAAGGUUUCUUGGGAGAGGAAGCAUGUGGUGUCACAGUUUCCUGUGUGAUCUGACAGUACGCUUCAGUGUGUGAGCGUGUGUGUGUGUUAUUGAUGUGCUGUUGACGUGUUUCUCUGAGGGUCGUUACGCUCUUGUGGAGGCUGUUACUGGAACACACCUGUUGCUGCUGAAACUGCUCAAAAAAGUCUUCUGUUUGAAAAAAAUCUGCAUGAGGAGGAUAUAAAAGGCCUAGUUUAUGAUAAAUAUAGUCAUUUAUAUACCUUUUAAAAGUCCUUUCUGCCCCCUGCAUGUCUAAUCUUAAACUCCUGUCUUUUUCUGCUGUUUUAUUUUUAUAGUGGCUGUUUUAUUUUGUGGGAACACUCAGCAGAAACCAGACACCAUCCUGGGACAUAUAACUGAAUACUUGUGAAAAGUGGUGAACAAGCCAACAAUUCCGAUAAUACUACACCGUAUGGACCAUUAGCCAACACGUCUGCUGACACCUUCUACCCCGCACAUAUGUGUAUUCUCACCCGUAUGUUAUUCCUCAUGUCCAGGCAUCUGCAGACUGCUUUUCCUGCGCCCAGAUGAUUCUGGAACUCAGGCUGUUUUAUCAAGUGCAAGAGUCCCUGAAUGAGCUUCCCACCUUUGGUUUGGCAAAUUACAUUUCCUGCAAAAUCCCUCUAGUAAUAACCUCAGCGCCAGGAGGUGUGUUUAAACAUAAUAAAUCGACAGUUAAAAGACGGGCAGACAGACAAAGGGAGGAAAGUAUAUAAGAGACAGCUCAGCUUCCCUACAUUUAAAACAGAGUCUUUGAACACGUAUAAGUUUGGAAACAGACGCAGGUUUUUAUUUGUUUUUUCUGCAACCCUUACAAUUUUAACUACAGUGUCAGCUUUAAUCCAGCAGAUGGCAGUAAAACACAAUUGAGACAGCAUUCAUACUUCAAUGUUAACUCAGGGUCACUUGGCUUUACAUCCCUAAUGUUAUCAGGGGAUGUUUUACUUAAGAGCUGAAACAGAAAAUCUCAUUCAUGUCUGAGUAUCUUCACCUAAUGAUAGAAUUCAGUUACUUUGGAGUUUCUUUGUUUACUUUAUAUGAGCGUAUGAAUCCAAGCGCUCUCCACACAUUCACAAAGCCAUGCACGAGCCAACAUUAACUCCCUCUAAAGCUUUACAUUGAAUAUUUUCCUCUUAAUUACCACCUUUGCUUAAUUCUCAGAAUGCACAAGGAGUAGGAGAAAAAAAUCAAUAAUUGACAUGGAUGAUGUCUUGCAUUUCUCAAUAAUUUCUUGGAGUUUGCAGUGAUUAUCUUAUCUUUCAAGAAAACAUGUCAUAACACUUUACUUUCCUGGGAAAAAUAAUGAUGAAGAGAGGCUGUAGGUCAAAGGAGAGGGGGCUGUUUGUACAGACUGACAUUUGGCACAGGCAUACAUAAACAAACAGCUCUGGUGAUGACAAAAAUUUCUGUUUUAACCAACUAUUAAAAAACAAAAUCUGACGGGUCAACUUUUGUUGAUUUUAAAAUUCCGGCAACAUUUCUAUCAGCUUAGUUAGAAAAUGUAAGCUUGAUUAAAGCUCCUGUGAGGAGUUUUUGAUUGGUGAUGAAACGGAUUGAUAUAAGCAGUGAGACAUCUAUAUGACGUUUGAAUGCAAGUAAGACUUUCUUUCUUUAUUGUAACUUUUAAUGACUGUUACUGCUGUGAGGGUGCAGGGGCCUGUUCUACGAAGCAGGAUUACUGCUUACCGAGGUAACUUCAAGGGUAAGUUUGGGGUUUCCUUUUCUACGACGUGGCCCUCUUCUCACUUCUUAGCGAGGUGAGUCUCCAUGACAACGUACCCUUAAACGGCUAACCUGCUCCGGGCAGGUUAGGUUCCAGAUUGAUCUCGCCGAGUAGAAAAACCCUGCUCACGGACCAAUGAGCUCUCUCAAAAAAAAAGGCGUUUCUGUUCUUGGAGGAUCCUAUAGACCUCGGUGCUCGCAUUGUCCGAGGAGCACUCCGGCGCGAGAGAGUUUUCAGGGACUGCACGAACCCACUUACUUUUCCGGAUGACCACCUUUAUGAAAGGCUCAUAUGGCCGACAUAUCACACAAAAAAUGUAAACACGAUAGGAAUGAACAAAUGAAUGAAUUCAUCUUGGAAAUUAAUUAGACGUGUCUGGUGCAUGUUAAAAGCGCAUGUUGAACAGUGCUAUUUCAGGGUGAUAAUGGCAUCAAGGAUUUUUUGCGCUCUAUACUUACGCAUUGAGACUGUCGGCAAUUUUCUGUUAGAAUUCCUUCCGUGCUUUUUCAGCGGCGACGGUGUUGUUGCUUUUGAGGUUUAUGAUGAUCUGAAUUCUGCAUUCUUUCUCAUGAUCGUCACCUGCUCCUCGUUUUUAAAGUAUGUGGUCCUUCGCUCUCCUGCUCCGACGCUCCAGAUUGGUCCAUGUUCGCGAUUGGUCAGAUGCGGCGGGCUCAGCCUUACAUGCGUGCACGCGCUCAUAGCAAAGCUAGAUCCAAUUAUGAGGUUGAUAACCAGCGUCGUAAGACCGUUUAGCGAGACCGCUGGCUACCGCACUAAGUUGAGCAAGGUAGCUCCAAGGCUACCUCGCUAGGUCGAACUUGCUUCGUAGAAUAGGCCCCAGGUAUGCUAAAGAAACAUCCUUUCUUAUUUUUCCCACUACAAACAUGAACAAGGUCCAGAUAAAAUCAACAACCGUACAAGAGUUAUCAUUUUGUCCACAGAGGGCGCCAAAUCAGUCUCAGUGACUUUUCUAAUGCCAAAUAUUUACAGUAGGUGAGAAAUUUCACCCUAAAAAGUCAACAGGAGGAUGUUUGUUUGUCAACUAACCCGACUCUUUAUGAAGUCGGCAACAACAUAAGAGUUACCACUUUGUCCACAGGGGGCACCAAAACCAAUGCAGACAGAGAGUGCUUCACAGGAGCUUUAACAGUGCACUGUAUGUAUGUUUAAAGUAGUUUGUAUUAAAAAGAAUCAAAGAAAAAGCCUUUUGUAUAAAUAGAUACAGCAGGUCCUCGCUCCAGGGGCUGACAUGUUGCGCUGCCAUGUUUUUUUUACAGUAACUCAGAGUUGACUAAUGAGCAGGAAGUGAACAUGUUUGGUCAAUGACUGGGUUGCUACACAACAUGCUGUGUAAGGGGAAUGGAGAGAGCUGAGUGGGAUUGAUUGUUGUUUUUGAUGUACUUAUACUUAUCACUGCAAAAGCACAAUGAGAUCCGGACAGGCGACAGCAGACAACAGGGGUGAGAAUCAAUGUUUCCUUUUAUGAUCCCUAUGUUUGAAGAGGGACACCAAAAUUGCCAGUUUCACGCUGGACAAGUAGGAGAACAUUUAUUCAUUCAAACUAACAUUAGUUUAAAGAACAAUGAAGCCUGGAUUAUCUCAGUUAGGGCUGCUUUCAGAGAUAUUGCUAAUAUUUCAUCAGAAUGAUAAGAGUCAACAGUGGGGUGAUGUUGUGCCAAUAACUCAUCAUUUAUUCCUUUUCUCUGACAGUAUCAUGACUCAUUGUACUCAAACUAACUAGAAAAGGCCAACAAUUAGCCACAUGAUGCUGUUUUGAAAGGGGGUGCAGAGUCCUGAUACUUCUAACAAUGUGGUGCUGAGGCGACAAAUCGUUAGGUACAAUUAAAUGAGACUCUCCAUGUUCCUCAUUCUGGCACAGGCUGAUUGCUGCGGAACCAAAACUCUCAAAACAUGAUAACUUUAUUCUCGUAAUAGUAUGGCUUUACUUUGACUUGAUUUUUAUCAUAAUAUGCCUUUAAUCUUGUAACAUUACAACUGGAUUUUAAUACGGCUUUACUCUUAAUCCUCUGAGGAAAAUGUUGUUUUUCUUAUCCUGUGGGAAAGUGACGUAAAAGAAAAAUCUCAUUUUAUUAUGUGACCAUAUAUUUUGUUGUAGCUACGUAAGAAACAGUUGCUUUUUUUAAGCAUUCCUUGUCUAAUAUCAGCUUCUAUUACUAAACCAAUAAACUACUCAUUGUCAAUAUCUUAAAACUGACCUGAAAAACAUCACCAUCUAGGUAUCUGAAUUAUGUUACAUGCAUCUGUUUUAGAUGAUGCCAUCUUUAUUCCGUUAAUCCCUUUUGGUUCUCGAGGGCCACCGUUGCUUUAGUGAAUUCUACAGACUGCACCUUUAAAUAAGCUGCAUUAAAAUGUUACAGCAUGUAGGCAAUUAAGUUAUGUUGUUUUCUUUGAGUUUACUUACUAAAAUACCACAUGGAUAAUGACAGUAAAAACACUUUACAAACUAUGUAAAUUAUUUAUUAACCCAUUACAGCCAGCGCUUGAAAUGAGCUGGAAUGCUCUAGUGUGCAGUACAGCCACUUCUCUACUGAACCCCUUACCAUACUGAGACUUUUCUGUCCUCUCCUUAUCACAGUUUACGUGUUUAUUUCAGGAGAAAUUACCACCAAACUCUCUAUUUACUAGAAAGAGUUCUCUUCUCAAGCACUUAACAGAGAAAACAAAGAUGGGAAAUUGAUCUGUUAAGCUGUACAGCAGGAUGAAAAAUCUUUUGAUUUAAUAAAUGUAGUGUUGGAAUGAAACCUGCGUUUCUUCCUGGCUGGAGAAGAGCUUAUCAGCAAAGCUUGUGUUUCCUGAUAAAACUGAAACUCCUUUCCAAUAAUGCACAGAGGGGAGGAGGAGGGAAGCAGGAACAAUCAGCCGAUACAGAGGAAGAUGCUUUGCUGCGCUGCAAUUGGCUGCUUGAAAGUCGGCAGUCGGCCACAAAUCAACACUUAACGUUCAGGAGGCUGGGGGAUUCUGGGAAAGCAUGUGACAACAGCAGGCAGCAUAACAGCUUAAAUAAUCACGCCUAGAUUUGCUGGAUAUUACAAGAACUGCUUGCCGGGCGGAAGAUGCAUAAUCAUGCUUCCAGGAAGGGAGCUGAGCUGAACGACUUCUGGCUGUGGUUGGAUGUCAUUACGCCAAUUUCCACUUCUAUUCAUGAUUGCAUUAUUACAAUAUCAGGCUCUCAGGGCACUCUGGGUUUGCACUGAUUGGUUCUUGCUCUUACAGGACAGCUUCUUUAGUUGAAAUCAGCUGGAUGCUUUGUUAAAUGUGUAGAUCUGGGAUGUUCUAGCAGGAUAAGGGUGUGUUUUCAGUUGGGAGUUAUACUCCACUUUGGCCAGCAGAUGUCAGCACAUACCUACUAGUCAUGUCACUUGCUUGAGCUGAAUCAGUAGCUGCUCCCUGGAACAUGCCUUCAUGUUUUCAUUUUCAAUCCACUUCACAGAGAAAACUGCUGUCAUUGCAUGUCCUUACAUCAGGUUAUGGAUGCUACUUCUUAACUCCAGUUCUGAGCUGCAAAUCAGUGUGUCAGUGAAGUUAGCAGAUAUUUCCAAGCCUACUUUUAUGGGUUAAUAAUGGAUUCAGCUCUAAUGUCUUUCCCAGCCUUACUUCUUCCAUCAAGUGUUGUGAAACACUUUCCUGGCUGCAUGUUUUAUUUUCAGUGUUCGUCUGAAUCCUGAUACCGCUAAAUACGCCAGGAUCAAAACAUGACCUUUUACAGCAUGUUCCGGGUUCUGCGCGUCAUGUUGUAUGACUGUUGUGACAUGUCUUGCAUUUGCCCUCGUGCAGCCUUUCACAACAACUCUCAUACCUUCAAUUAAGCUCUAUACAGCACAUGGAAAGGCCAGGGGGGGGAAAGAUGAAUCGUUUUGUCACAUGCUGUCACCUGACUACGAAAGAUGAGUGAGAGAACACAGGGUGCUGUUACAGUCUGUGUGAUCGUUGCAUGAUUUAAAGCUGGUUCCACUCUCCUCUCUGCAAAGGGGGUCAUGUGGUGUUGGUAUGCCGAUGGACACCAGCACCGUCCAUUUCUGGAGGUAUGGCAUGUCUGGCUGUGACAUCACUGUCCUGCUGACUGCAUCGCUGAUGAAGCGGCACAACUAUGUUUGGAGAUUUUUACGUUAGCUGCAACCAAGUAAGGGUGAAAAAAUGGACAUGCAGGGAAAGCAAAGUCUGGGUUUUUCCAACUAAAAUUGUGGCCCCGCCUCCCAGUUAGAGAUCUGUUCUUCCAUGUAAUAACCUAUUGUCUAAAAACUCAUGUAACAUGUUCGUUUUUCCAGUCAUGCUCUGAACAGGAUCACCUUUCCUUCCUAAAGGGCAAACUCUUGAACACAUCAUGUGAACUAUCUCUCCUGUUCCCUGUUUUGACUUUUUCUGCCAACUUCCUGAUUUACUUUUACCCCAAACACCCAACCUAAUAUUUACACCCAUACUCUUCGUCUGCCCCUCUGUCUUUUUGCCUGCAGAUAAAAAACAAUCUGAUACUUAUUUUUCCCUGUUUGGUAGCACAUCCGUCAACUAAAGUUCUGCAAUAGUACUGUUGGGAACAACCUUCACCAGGAGGCUAAAAAACCAAUCUAACCUUAAAAAGGUCACUAUGAAACAACAUGAGCGCAGUUAUCCCCGAGGUGGAACUCAGACAGUUGUCGUGACUUUUAUGUCCUAAGCUGUUAUACUUUGUACUCAGUAGAAACAGCACUGACUGUUCACUUGGGGCAGAUGUAGGUCAGGAAGCUGGUAUGAGGGAAACAGCACGUGAGUGACAUACGACACAUAUUUCUGUGUCGUUUUGAACAAAACAGGAGAAGAAGAAGAAGGAGGAGGAGGAGGGGAAGAGUGAGCGUGAGAGAUUCAUGCAGGUUCUUCCAGUUUAUCUAUUCAACUUGGAGUAUAAUGAGAUGGACAUACUGUACACUGCAGAGAAUUUAGCCCUACAGUAACAACAAGCAGAGGUAUCAGACUUCAGUGUAUUGUCAGGCUGUGCUGUAUUGCAUGCCAUAAAACAUUUCCCAGCAUAGCUUUGCAGAGCUGACAGCUAAAAAGCACGCUAAACCCGCACAGAAAGGUCAGAGAUUGCAGAUAUCUGAAUCAAAGGGUAACUUUCUGAGUGUACCAAUGUGUAGAAAGGAAAACAAAACGGCAGUCAGAUUUUGAUAAUCAGUCACCUCUCAGUCCCUAGUGACCUUUUCUUGCAAAGUGGUGCCUCUUUUCGGUAAAGCAGGCCUGUUUUUCUUACAUGCCUUUUGCCUUCAAUAACCCAAAUGUCACUCAAGGUCCCAUAGGGGCAUGCACCCUUUCACUGUGACAUGAUAAAACUCCCCCCAGCGUGUACCAAAAACUUUCACCUCCCCCUCACAGAGAGUGGGAAGCGCUCACUGACUCAGAGCUGACACUGGUGGACUUUCAGUUCUGUUUGCAGUUUACUCCACAGUGAAAAGAAGACCCCCGGUUAUUUGAAGUUGCAUACAUGCACGGGUUUAGGAAACAUGAUAAACUUGCAAACAGUACAUCCCUUUCAUGUAUCUCCUGUGUGGCGUGCAUGCGUGCGGUAAAGAGAGGUGAACAGAGGUGGAGGGAGGUGAAUGGAGGUGGAGGGUGAAAAGGAGGUAAACAAAUGGAACAAUGAAACACGGUGCAGGACAUUCUGACCCAGAGUGAGGAGAAAGGAACAGAGUAAGGCUAGAGUAACACCAUGUGUCUGCCUUAGCCCUUGGAACAGUGCCCCCAUGCCAAGACUGUCAAUAGAUCACACAGUGGCACACAUGGAUACACACAUGCAAAGACCAAUACACACACUUACAGGCCUGUUACGUGCAAGCACUUACAAAUACUUAAAUAAUCACUCACGCACACACUACUCAGUGUUGCACUGCUAAUGAUGUUCUCUGAAGAGAACAGGAAAGGGGAUCAAUAGCUAUUAGAAAGCACUGUGAGGUUGUAUUUCCCUCUCUUCCCUCUAAUGUAAGCUGGCUAUGAUUUGUUUCAGUAAAAGUGCACAGCCAUUUCUUUUCAUCUGGUCACUUACUAUUACAGUAACAACUAAAUAUUACCAGCAGUACAUUUCCUAUUCCUCUGUGACAGAGGGGUUAUAUUUGUUUUGUAUUCCUGAGUGAUGACAAAAAGGCUGCAUACUAUAUUUAGACAUUUUCACUGCAAAACCUCAAGAUAUUAAUAGGAACACAGAAGCUACGUAUAUGACCAUAAUUUGAUAGUUUGCAGUCAUCAGGGAUUACAGAGGAGUUUUCUUGUUCUGUGUUUGUGGACUUUGAUGAGCUGAAGAAGACACUACUUGUCCCUUGGAGUUCACAUUACUUUCUAUGAUUGCUUUUAUAGGAGAGGAUCUCAAAAUAGCCCCAUAGAGGAACAGGCUGUCUUUGAAACAUGUGUCUGUAACACAUGUUGGGAAAAAAACAAUCUUUACAAGAUGCCAUGAUGCUUUGACAAAAGGCAUGAAAAAUUGGAUUUGGGUCAAAGAACAUUGUGAUAUUUGUUCCUCUCAACAUGGGCAGUUCUGCUAUAAUAAUAACUGCAGCUGGCUAUCUCUAUUUGGCCAGGCUGUGAUUUCAAAUGUAGAACGGAGGCCUAUUUAAAGGGUCAUUGAAGCUGACUGCAGAGUGCUUUUGUGUGAUGCUUGACAUUUUAUAUACGUAGGAGUGCAACACGGGACAUGCAUCCCUGUCUGCCUCACAUGGCAAGACAGGUCAUGCAUCUGUGUCUGCCUUAGAUGUUAUGUUCAAUAUCUGCAGCAUGAUGGGUCGGUGAAUGUUGGCAUGGACUGCUGAAAAGAAAUCUUGGAACAUGAUUUGCAUUCAGAGAAGUAACCAGUGCUGCAGAGAUUUAAUAGGAAAAACACUAUGUGCAUGCAAGAAAAUCAUGCAAUUGCGUAAAUACUUGUCUCUAGAUAUGGUAAUGCACUACAUUUCACAACAACAUAGUAAAUAAUGAAUGCUGUAAUGAAAAUGUAGCAAAAUCAGUCAUCAAAUCACUGCAAUCUUUGCCCUGUUUGCUUUGACUCAGCUUUCCUACCAACGAUGCCAUGUGUGCCGUUCUCUCUCUGUGUACACAGAGCCACCGUGUGUUCAUAAACUUGGGGGAAACUCCAGCUUGCCACAGAUGAGCAAAGUCUCCCAUCAAACAGUCAAAAUCUGAUCACUGUGUGAGAAAUGGCAGCUGCAAAACAGCAGCAGAGAAAAGGUUUAGCAGUCAGUGCUUACACAUCAGUUUGAAAGUCUCUGUGUGUAAAAGCGGGUUUGUUUGGCAUGCUCUGGUAACCCCCCACAUUCAGAGAAAAAGCUAACCAGCUUUUGAAACUGUGCAAAAAAAAAAAUUCUCCCCAGUUGCAUAACAUCUUCUUAUGUGUCGCGUGUUUUGUGUAAGGCUUAGUCAGCUGUUAAAAUUAAAAAACAUCAGACUCCCAGUAUGAAGAAACACAUUCAUGCUGCACUUUGAGGAUGCUAGCUUCAUGUAUUGUGUAGCUUAGACAGAAAGCCUCCAUCUCACUGUCUCUCUAUUUGAAAAGCCACGUGUUGGUCUGUCAUUAAAGGUCAGAGGUCAAUCAGUAGCAGGUCGAGAAGUCAGCAGGUCAGAGGUAGGUCUCUGUGUUGUAAUUGUGCCGUCCCUUGGGCUGUGUAAAAGGGACUAGACAGCUGUCCUGCCCCAUAAAGAUACAUUAACCCUGCCCUGGCUAAGUGCAAACUGGGCCUAUCUAGUCCAUGAAUGGCUGUUUAAUGGCUGCAGACAGAGAGGACUGAUGGACAGAUGAAACAUAGAUUUGCCACUGCAGGAUCUUGUGGGCUCUCUCUAUGAUUGUUGCAGCCUUAAAUGCCCGAUUUUGGUCAUUUGUCAUCACUUUUGGUUAAUUUCUGUGUUGACUUUGAAUAAAAAAUAUAAAAAGUUGAUUACUACCUCACUGCAAACUCUACAUGUUCUUUACAACCUCCUACUGGUAUAUGAUAAAGUCUGUUUUGGGGGGAUGACUUAGGGGAAGUUUUAACAUCUUCUGGAAGAGUGCAGUUUGUGCAGCCCUCUCUAGAACUAUCUAUGAUGUUUGCAACCCUGCUAGCUACCAGUACUGCACUGAGAACAGCCUGCAACCACAUAUCUGAGACUGCUGGUCACAUGUUUGUCCAAGGCAUGACUUUAGCUUGAUUUUAAAACAUAAAAUACAACUAUCUGUAUCAUCAUGUUAUUUAGGGUGACCAUACCAGGAUCAGGGUCCUCGUUUACAUGGACAUGUCCUCUUUUUUGGGGGCUGUCCAGGCUUGUCCGGCUUAGUCCAGGGAAGUUUAUAAAAUCCUUCAAAUGUCUGCGGUUUUGUCUGUAAGUUUCGAUUUUGUGUCACAUGGACUUACUGAGUUAGAAGCAUGUAAAAGACACUCAAUCCGACCCGAAAAAACUCUUGAAAUCAACUUUGUGCGACUCCGUGACUCCACCCCCACGUAGUUGUGUCCUCUUUUUGGAGAUUCAGAAUAUGGUCACCCUAAUGUUAUUGUAUGUACUCAGUUAUAGGAUGCAGCCCUUUUUUUAGAUGAAAAAAGCAUUAAAAUUGGCUCUGAAUCGUGGGGUAGAUUAGUAACACAGCCUCUGGUUGGUGGAGAGCAGGGAGCAUGUAGCUUCUGAUUGGUCUUUGGCUUUACAAAAUGCACCAGGAAUGGCUAGGUUAAAUAUUUUUAACACAGAAAUAUGAAUAUAAAAAGGGUACGUAAUGGAUUUUAACUGCUGUGAAUUUACUUUGAAAGUCUUAAAAAACAAACAGACUGUAGUUUAAGGCUGGAUUAGGAUGCCCCUAUUUAAUAGAGACUGGACCUGUCUGCUGUGAUGCAGAAAAAAAGUAUGUUUUUAUUGUGCUGUGGUCCACUGAUAUUAUUGACAGUAAAAAGUACUUUUAGAUAUUUUAUAGAGCAUACCUGAGAGUCAAAGAAUUGAAUUUGGCAGCAGAAAUAACACUGCCAGGAGGAGAAACUUGGUGAGAAGAUGUGGAUUUCGACAAAACUGCAAAUUUGCACAGAAUAUACUGAGAUUGUUCUAAUUUGACUCGACUUUUGCAACUGCUAUUUAACAAGACAGACACUGUAAGAUUUGACUGAUAGAAAAAGUCACUCUGAAGCGUGGACUCAUGAGCCUCUAGUGCCUUCGCUGUUUAAUGAUGCAUCAAAAACAAGUACACUGAGCAUUGUGCGUCUGUAAAGAGGUGGUUCUCUGUGUGGUGCAGCUGUUGCGUCUCCCCUGGGUGAAGAGGAGGGUAAAAGGGACAGAGGAGAGGGUCUCUGCCCUGCACUGUCUGUUUCAUUGUACUGCUGCUCCUCUCAUUCUCUGCCUACUUCUCAGGUUUCACAGCCCACACGCCUGAAUCACACAGUCACCAAUGAUGUGCACACUCACUCUCGCACUCACACUCACACACUCAUACACUUUCUACCCGCGGGGAUGAUUCACUGUUACCCCCCUCAUUUCCCUGGGGAGCAGUGACUCAGGGUGAGAGGAGAGGAAGAAGAAAAGGACAGAAUAUAAUAGGGCCCAGUAAUAAGUGAGAAGAACAUAGAGCGACUGGUUUGAGAGUGGUGUAAGGAUGAGCAGUUUGGCCUUCAGUCCUUUGAGGAGGCAGCAGGCGCUCUGUGGAGCUCAACUUGUGCUGAACAUGAGCUUCAUGAUGCACACUGCUGGUCUUAGUCACCACGGCAACUGUUAUGCGGUGUUCAGCAGAGGGACAUUUUCUGCAAACGACAUUCAGCAUUGUUCCAGAAGUGCAGCGCCCCCCUCAGCCCCCCUGAUAUUGUUUCAAAGAUGUUCUCCUGUGAAUAACAGAUGCCCUUGGAGAGAGAAUACUUCAUUUUGGCUUCCAGGAAUUAAAUCAAGACACAAUCACUGGAAAUGAAUGAGCUGAGAUUGAUUUACUUUUGAAUCAUUCGAAGGAAACACGGAUAAAACAAAAGUGCAAAGACAAAUAACUUUUAAAAGAAAGUGUAGUGCUUUCACUUAUAAAACCAGAAGCAGUCUGGCCUGUGCUUUCUUCUUUCAGUGCACCUAAGAGACUUCAGCCUGAGUAGUUGAGUGACAGAGCUCUUAUCAGCAGAUCUGCUUACUGUGCUGCAAUGUGCCAACGUGCAGGUCACACAAGCAGAACAUGUAACCCACAAGAGAAGCCAUGUUUCUGUGGAUUCCCUGCUAGAUAAGUCAAGGUAUCAGAAUUACUCUUCGAGGAAAAUACCCAACUUUUCAUUGGUAGAAAAUCAAACCAGGCCAGCAGAUUUCUUUGGAGUUUUAUAACAACAGCCAAGCACAAAGGCAACCUAUCAGAAAAUGUUCUGACCUUUCGAUCUCUUCAUACUCUCUUUCUAUUUCUCUGUCCUUUCACAUGUGGUACAGUUAUUGCUGUACAGGUCCACCCAAUUUCUGAGAGAAGCUACUUCACUUUCUUGUCAAGUGGUCCUAAUUGGUGCUGUUAUGAGCAGUCAGUGUGUGACCUUACUUGUCUGAGAAGUGGGGUGAGUCAGAGUGCAUUAAGAGCGGCAUCUUAAAGUACGGCCUUACCACAUGGUGUGGUGCUGAAAGAGAGAAGGAGAGAGAACCUCACCUCACAGCAGUCAGGCAUAUGACUCACGGCUCUUUCUCUCUGGGAUGCUUUCAACCCUAUGUGGGUGUGUGUGUGUGGGACUGUCAGUGUGUGGUAGUGUGUGGUGAGGAUCGGCACCGGCUAAUGUCAUUUAGUUUCAUGCAACAACAGUUUCAGCCUUAGCAUGAAUGCAUGUAAGUUUUACAAACAUACCCGUGUUUUAUCACACAUAUAAAUCUUAUCAAGUAAGGUUUGAGUUACCAAUUCCAAAUGACAUGUCGUAACCAUCUUACUCAAAUGAAAAUAACCUCAAGCUGGGGCACCCAUGAUGUCUUGUUGUGAAGUGAAUGCUGAGCAAAGUGGAGUUUCCUUCUGUGGAGGAAUCCCCCCUGUGCAGCGACCUGGUUUCUGUCUGUUUCACCCACACACACCGCACUAACACACACCCACACAUACAGUACUGCAGACAGUGCAAAUGAAAAGGCUGAUUUGUAUAUGUAGCUAGCACACACUGUAAUAGUAAUGUUAGGUCAGAGGAAUACUACAGUUGUUACAAUAUAAAAACUAGUACUUGUAUAGUACUAUGUAUAAUGGCUGCCCCUUGCAGUUACUGUUUUGGAGUAUCAAAGAGUAGCUACAAGGGAAAUUUAAUGAUAUAUUAGCAAUCAGUGUUUUCUAAUCAUCUGUUUUAUGACUGAAUACUAAGUGAAAAAAAGGUAAAAUAACUGAAUAAAGUUAUGAUUUAUCAAAAUAAUCUACCAUACUAAUUGUAAUAUCGGUAACACCUUAUUUGAUGCCUUCCUCUAAAACACAUGAUAAAUAUAUUUAUAAUGCAUUCUAAUCAUGUUAUAGCACUGUAUAACUAUAGUUAUAAACACUCAUAAAUGAUUAUAAUGAUUUAUAGCAAUGAUCAUAACACAUUAUAAAGCAUUUUAUCAUGACCUACAAGGUCAGGUAUUAUAAUGUGUUAUGAUUAUUGUCAUAAAGCUUUAUGAAAACUAAUGAGUGUUUAUAAUGAUAGUUAUACAAGUUUAUAAGCAAAUUAUAACACAUCAUAAAUAUAUGUACAAUGCAUUAUCUAUGUGGGCAUUGUCAGUGAGUUGUUAACAAUUAUAACACAUUAUAAUACCUGACCUUGUAAGUCAUGAUAAAAUGCUUUAUAAUAUGUUAUGAUUAUUGCUAUAAAGCGUUAUGAUCAUUUAUGAGUGUUUAUAACUAUAGUUAUACAGUGCUAUAACGUGAUUGUAAUGCAUUAUACAUACUUGUAUAGUACUAUUUAUAAUGGCUGCCCCCUCGCAGCUACUGUUUUAGAGAAACAAAGUAGCAAAGCAAAAAGUAGAAACUUUUAUGUUUCAUCAAAAUAAUCAACCAUACUAACUGUAAUAUCAGUUAUAAAGACCCAACGCUGAUGCAACAUGAACAAGUUCUCCACAAUUUUUGUCAGCAGUGUAAAGAGAGAGCUUCUUUUCACAGGUAGAAACCUUGUGCAGAACCAGAUUCAUGUUUAAUAUCUAUCUGCUGCAAUGAGAUGAGCCAAGAAAGUGAGAUUGAGGUCGAGAUAGAAAGUGAGAACUCAGCAUAAUAAUUAGAAGUUUCCCCGUUUUCACAGUAAAAACCUCAAACCAGUGUCCUAUUACCUUGAUCACAGUGACAUAUUGGUGACUACGCAGCGACAGAGGGCCAAACAGACAGAGGUCAUCAUUGGCUUGACCCCUCUAAUGGAGUAUGGUGAUCUCUGACCUUUGACCAGUCUGCUCAGCCCAGUCAUGGCCCUUAUUGACUCAGAUCAAGAGUCAGCUCACACUUUGCUGGUCUGGGUCUGAAGGAAAAGUGAAAACUGGCUCUGGAUCAGCGUCUGUGACCCUUUUAGACCCUCCUGCUCAGCAGUCCAUGUGGCUUACAGGGAGGAGGAAGUGAGCGUAACGUGUGAUUAUUAUCUGACUGACAGGAAACCCUUUUGUCUCCGGGGUUAUCUGGCUGCUUGCAGAGGAGAUGACGUGAACACCAGAGGACAGAGAGGCUUUUUCACCAGCCCUUUGGACCACAACCAGCAAAAGAUGACUCCAAAACUGAUGUCCCCCCUCUAGUCUACUGCUGAAGUUUACCUUAAAUCCUGCAGGUCAAAUCAACAUGUAAUUAAACCAUACCAGCAUGCACUCUUUUCCUCCCACUCUUUCAUGUCUUGCCAUCUCGUGUGUCCUUAUUGUCCUGCUGCUUUUGUUGUUUUACACAGCAUGUAAAAUUUCACAGGAAUCAUGAGUAAUGGGACCCCAUGGUGCAUAGACACAGUUACAUGGUGGUCUGGCACACGCUCCACUUCUCUGUGUUCUCUGUUUACCUUUGUCAUAUCAGUGUGCGCUCAGUUUAUAAAGCAAAAGAUAGCAGAAGGGUAAAUAUUCUAUAAAUAUAGAGGCUCUAAAUCUGUCUGAUAUACACAGAGCUGGCCAAGUUGGUGCUCAUAGCAAGGUUAUGUCUUGACAUCUCCAAAUUUAUUGGGGGUGCAAAAUUUAUGGGGAUUUCUUAUUAGGACUUCAGGAGAAAAGUCUGCUAUUAAUAGUCCAGUAUCAGUUUUUCUGCCACAGAGUAUCAGUUCACAUGCCAUAAUGCAAUAUGAAGCCCAGGCCUGAUUAUAACCUUGAUUAUUAUUAUUCGUUAUUGUAACUCUUUAACCUCACAGUUACCAUUAAAAUGUCUGACUAAAGUUUUUAAUGGGAACAUUGUAGUUUUUCCUUAUUGUAAAGAUAUUAAACAUUCUCGUGUACAGGUUCUGAUUCUGAGUAAUUCAAGAUUCACUUCAGUGUCAUUUUCCUUAUAAUUUGAAUAUCUAAUAAAACAGGAACAAGGUGCUUUCCCUCAGCCUACAUCAGUGUGUCAAGAAAACCGUGAAAUAUGUAAAUAACUCACUCAAUGAUCAGGUUUAGUGCCAUUAAGUCACCCUGCAUGGGUUUUUAAGAUACCCUAAAACCAGUGAAAUAUUUACAUACCAUAAUGCUGCAACUUAAAUCGGUAUGCUAGGCUCAGAUUUGGAGCAAAUGAUGCAUGGUCUGAUCCCCAUCUCCUCAUAUCUGCUUACCCAAUAAUCCUAGGAUAAGAUAUCCCACCCACAUUCUGUCAGUGUGUGUUGCCUGAUUAGCAUAAAAAGUGUGUUUAAGGGCAUAGAAGUGGACUCUGUUUGUUAGCAUAAUGGUGUAAAGUGCAGUUUGUAUUUAUAAGACCAGAAUUACAUUGUAAUUGCACCUGAUGCAAUUCUUUGGAGUUGCAUUAACAGCUUUCAUUUUCAAUAAUAUUUCACAUUGAAUUCAUGAUAAGCUGUAUCACUGUAUCCUUGUACUAUGUGUAAUACUCUGCAGAGGAAAAGCUGACUCACUCUCCAGUGCUCCCAGAUCACAUCGCUUACGCAAUUUGAUUUCCUCCUGAAACAUCUCUUCAUAAGCGGACCUCAGCACCCAGCGGCAGAAUUACAUUCACCACUCUGAUACCGAAGAUUUCGGCCUCUGAAUAAGCAGCAUUUGACGUGUUUUUCAGCUUCAUUUGCAUGGACUUCCCCCAAGAGACUCCUCAGAGACUCUGUUAAAAGUCAACCAGGUGGUUAAAAGAGGACAGCCUGCUUUUCUUCUGUAAUAUGAGGGACUUCUUGUUUACACAUGUGCCCAGAGAAAAGGGCAGAUUGUUUGUGUGGUGUGUCUGUGUGCAGGUGUUUCUCAUGGGAGUUUUAUGUUAUGUCUGUUUGUGUCUGUCUGUGUGUGCGUGUUUGUGUGGGUGAGUGGGAGGGUUAGGGGGGGGGUUUUCUGGGUCUCUGAGCCUAAUGGUUAGUCUCUCACUCCCCACACAUGAGUUUGCAGGUGGCCCCCGUGUCGACCACAAACACACAGCCCUCGCACUGAAUCAGAGCUGCACAGCACAACCUCUUUUCCAGCUGCAGGGUGGGCUAUUUUGCAGACGCUUCAUCCUCGAACUGCUGGUUCAGCCUCUCGUGCCAGACAGUGUCUGUCCUGCUAAAAGGUGAAGGGGAAACAUAAAAUCCUCACCAACACAAGGACAAUUGUCUCUGAUCUGUUUGCAAAGGAGAUUUCCCUUUUAAAAAAAACAUAAAGUAUCAAGUUUAUGCUUGCACAAAUGAGCAUGCACUCCUCUGUCUUUGUUGCUGUAUUUGUCUGACUGCAGCCCUCAGGUCAGCUGCUCCUCUAAGCUAAUGAAAUAGAGCCUUAAGACUGCAGGAGAAGGGAUCUGCUGACUUCUAAGAGAUGCUCCUUUUUACCCAUGAUGCUGUGGCAGGUGGAAAGGCCCUCUAAUCCAAUUAGUAGAAGUUCUUCAUCUAAUCAUCCAAGACAGAAGGUGAUAGCUGGAUAGAGAGGAACAAAGAGCAGGAAAAAAAAUGGAGCCUUUGUAGGAAAGCACAUGCUGUUCCCCCUUUUAACCAAAGUCAUAAAAAGGCCUUUGAAAAAGAGGCAAUCGCAUAAACUCUCAAUCUGUUUUUAUACUGCAGCUCUGUGUAUUCUCACAUAGAGAGCUGCAGCUCUUCUGUUUCUAUGUAUUGCCUUUUUUUCAUAAGCAUUCCAGCAGCUUCCAGACAGCACAGGCCUCUGCUGUAAACAAGAAUAGGUUGUGUAAGGUCUUACCCAGUCUGCUAAAAAAGGUUGCAGCAGGGCAUAAACCCCGUGUGCACAGGCCCUUGAAAUAAAAAGCUUUAGCAGUGCGGACAGCUGAGGGCACUUCAUCACUGCAGCUUAGACUCGCUGCCCUCAGCCAGUCUCCCUGCAAGGGCUGCAAAAUACAUUUCCCCGUCACUGUUUUUACAUGUUGCUUGCGUGUGUGUGGGUGCAGGAAUGCGACAUGAAACACUCCCUCUUGUGAUCUUGUCUUUGCAUAUUAUAUCUCCACUUGAAUCCCGUAUGUCUGCCAUGUGAUUACAUGUCUACAACACUCAAUGUAGAACAAAGAAGCUUGUUUCUUGGGUCUCAGACAGUCUCCUUUUCUCCAAACAGGGUUAAAAAAAAACAAAUCAUGCUAAUUGGUACGCUGUGUCUGUUUGUCCUUCAUGUGACUGCGUUGUGUUCUUACUCUGUCUGGUUCGAUUUGGGGACAGAGUGAUGCUCAGGUGUCUGGCACAUAGAGACCUGCUGCUGUAACUGACAUUCAUUCUUCACACACACCCGCAAACAGUCUGUUCACAAGUAUACACACACAAAGGGAGGGGGGCAGACGCACACACCCUCUUGCAGAUGGUUCACACACACCCACUGCUAAAUUUUCAUCCACAUGCACAUGUAUUUCUGCUCUGGAGACGGACUCUGGUUAGAGUUACGCCGUCUCUGCAGGCUCAAAAGGUUUCAUUGUGACAGGGGAGCUCGGCUGGUAUCACAAAUGAAAGGGUUUUCUCUAAAAUUAUGAUGUUUCAGUGUCACUCAGUUCUUUAAAAAUUAGUAUGUUUCAUAUUCGAUUCCAAGUCUCUUACUUUGUGGCCGUCUUUCUGUCUGAAUCAAACUGUUCUCCACCCUCUAAAGGCUCCUGUAAUCUGAGUCAGAGACAGACGAACACUCAUAGGAGAAUCUGUAAAUGACACGGUGAUCAUAUCUGAAUGUUCUUGUAGCACAAAACCGAGUCUGAAAAUUGGAAGAGGUGCAGACAGACUGUCAUACAGCUAAAUAGGUGAUAACUGUCACAACAUAAACCUGUUAUUUUGCAAACUGCAGCCUCAAAAGCUGACAAUUACAGCCCUGAGUUACAGGACAUGCAGUCAUAACUCAAAGUUUCUAUUAGUAUCUACAAAUUACGAGAUGUUCUGUCCACAUUUAAUACGAUUGGCAGUUCUGACUGACUAUUAAAAAAUGCAUUAUUCAACAAAUGGUAACCUCAUGCUGCAGGACUUCUGCAUAACCUCAAUCACAUGAGAUUAUUCCAGCACCAGCACUGAAUCGAUUACGCUCUGACAGGUUUAGACACUGCCUGAUUUAGCAGCCCCGAGAGCCAGAGAUGGAAACCACGAGAUUUAGUUCGCCAAAAAUAGAAGGCAGAGUCACUUUAAAAAGGAACUGGAGCUCCAAAAAUAAUCUUUCCAGACCGGGUUGGAAUUAAGCUCCCAGGAAAAAAAGCUCAAAGCAAACGUAGACUCGUCUUAGGGGAUAUUUACCGCCCUGUCAUCCACUUAAGGGAGCAUGUAUACCUCCCCCUGCUGCCCUACAUUCAUGCUGUGCUGGCUGUCCUCAGCCUUGCAGACAGAUAAUCUGAGGUAUUCAGGUGAGAGGUAGCUAUAAGAUCUGGUUCUCUCUGGUCAAUUCUAACUAAAGGCAGAAGUUAAUCGUUACGUGUUGCUUGUACCUGAGUGCCUGCAGGUACCGUACAUGAGUGUUCGUGCAUGCGUAAGUGAGAUGAGAUUUGAAAGGUUAAUCACAUUAAUCAGGUGUUCGAACGACUCCUUAGAAGCAUCGGUUGUACUAGAUCUUUCCACUUAAACACUGUUUGUUACGCAUUUGUGUGCAAUUUUAUGCAUGUGUGCUCUGUGCAAAUCACAUGCAAACAGCACAUGCAUGAACGUGUGCCCUCCCCUUGCACAUCGGCUCAGCCCCAUUCAAUCAUUUUACAGACCUUAUGGCUUUUUCCAUGACAAUUUUAGUUCUAAUUUGCACAAUCCAUGUUGUGAAAUGGAUCAGAGUUGGAGUAAAUCCCAACAGCAGAUCCACAUGAUGUACUUUUAGACUCUUGUCUCAGGUGAACAGUGCCUGAGUUUUACCUAAAUUUAGGAUAUAAUCUGGACACUGAUGGAAAACAACCCCAUGCUGACAGAUUUAUGGGUUUAAGACAGAUCAUGUUUUGGAGGACUGACUGAUCAUGGGUCAAAGUGUGAUGCUUGUUAAGCCUGAUAUCUUCUGCUAGCGAAAGAUGGUAAACAAGUCUAAGAUUGACCAAAUUUGAUUUGUUUUUAACUCAAUUUUAGUUUGAGCCAUGGAGGAAUGACAUGUUACCAACACAAUGUCCUCUUGAUAAGAGUCUAUUUUUAAGUCCACCGCACUUGUUUUCUUUCCAAGUCCUGUGAUAUGUGUGAAACUUUAUAAAAACAAACAGAAGCAUGAGAAUAAUUCUUCUCUGUUCCACAAGGAAACCUUUUAUCUCGCAAAACUGCAAAGGAGCUAAGGAGAAUUUCAAAGAUCAUGUUCCCACUAUCUCUUUAUUAUGUCUCUUUCUGUUAGCCUCCAUCAUUUGCACCCUCUUUCUCCCUCAUAGAUACAUGUAUUGCUCCCCUCCAGUCAGGCGUACACAGUGGCUGUUUAGAGCGUCUCUCUUGUAUCCUGCUGUUAAUCCACUUCCCUUUAAAACACUUCCCUUUCCCUUCAUAGAUACACUCAGUGACAUGCACACGCACUAACUCCUGCUAACGCACCAAACAUGCACAUACACCCUCGCACGCUCGCCCACACAUUGCCUAAGGAGCAGAGCCACUAACCCAAACUUCCUACACACUUAGUAUGAGUGUGUUUAUGCGCUCGUUCAUGUAGGCAUGCGUCGGUGCUUUCACAAUAGUUGCAUCUCAAGUGAUAUUUUCUCUCCUUCAUCUAACCCGCUGCUUUCUCACCCUGAUGCCUUAUGACUAAUAGCCCUACCUGGGUUGCAAGAAUUCAUCUGAAAUCUGCUUGCCUGGUACUUUCAAUCACACGCUGCUAGAAAAUACAAAUGUGCUGCCCGAGUGAAUCAUGUGCAGGUCGCCUUCAUCCUGCACACUCCGGAUGUCUACGAAUUGCAAGCCAUUGCUCUAUUUUCUGAUUCCAAUUGAUCUGUCGCUCCUGUCUAUUUCUGGUGACACAAAUGCUUACCUUUUGUGUCUGCAGAUGUAGGUCAAACAGAGCAUUCGCAUUGAAUCUGCUUGAUGGUAGAAGCAGGUCAGUCGAACAGUUAUGCGUUGGCCCAGAUAUCUUAACCCAUAUCUCCUGUUUUAUGUCAAUGAUGGGAAAAUCGAGAAAAACAAAGAAAUAUAACGUGACGACCGGGAUGUCAAUGCUGUCUUCAUCUCAUAGAGCCAAAGAUGGACCCAGGAACCGGGAGGAUGUCAUGCGUCAUUGAUAGGGGGUGGUGUUUAGCUUUGGCCAUCAGCUCUUGUAGCAGGAUUUUGAAACAGACUCAAAUGUUUUUGCACACAUUUACAUGCAAACUUGAUAAAUAAUAUAGGAUUUCUUAUGUAUAAAUCAUAUCUUAAAGUGAGUGACAGAACAAGUUGUGAAACUUUUGAUGAAACUUAUAUUUUUCCCAUCAUACAAUCCUUCAUCUGCAAUCACCCCUGCAGUUAAAAGAGGGUUCAAAGUCUGAAUCAAGACUAGGGCGAUGAACUUCUUGAGAGAUCAGCCAGCUCUGUUUCUACCAUUUACAAAGCACUUGCAAAGUAAAACACUUGGAUUUCUGUGCUGGCCCUGUAAUACAGAGAUGCAGUAAUUAUAGAGAAGAGGGGCUUUUAGAUGCUGAAUUGUCUUCAGAAGGCAGUUCAAAGGCAAGCCGUCACAGCUGCAGCCAGCGCUGAAGGCGCUAAAUAUGCAGUUGUUUGUUUAUAUGAUAGAUUAGAUUUGGUGCAGUUGAUUUUUGUAGUUUAACUUUUGCUGCGUGAGAAAUAAAUGCACUUACCUCUGAAAACUUCUUGUACAAGCUAGUAACUUCAACAAUUUUACAGUACAGCCAUGUGACCUUACUCUGAGAAUUAAAUCUGGCUUUACUGUUGACCCUGAUAUUGUUAAACACACUUAAGUCAUUCUCACCACUGACAAUUUUACCCUUUUAACCCAUCCUGAUGAAGUUUAUCAUCAUCGCAUUGUGGUUGUUUGUGCUGUGUUGUAACCUCUUUUUUGGUUAGAUAGUGGCACACCUGCACAGCAUGGCAUGUGUUUGUUUGUUUGUUUUGCUCCCAUAAACAGCACAUGCAGAUCAUUUUCAGAUGAUGAUAUGUAGAGUCUUAUGAUAAGAAAUAUUUUUUUGUUGUUCAAAUAGACUUCUUGCUGCCACUUGUUGUUUAUACGCACUCUAGGGUCGAGCAGUAAAACAGCUUUUAAUUUUUCCUUGUGUACCUCCUGCAAAAGCUUUUUCUCGCCACAUAAAAGCAUGUGGGCUUUAUUUUUAGAGCAGGAUUAUACCUUGGACUAAACGUCACUGCUAAUGAGGUCAUGCAUAGACAUAACUGCAUCUUUCCUAGACAUUAUGCUUACUGUCUGUCCACGUGCAAAACCAACAUGUGCUCUGCAGGUUUGCGCUUUAUCAGAUCUGCAGGCUCCGGGUUUCUUUGAGCUUGCAUCCUGAGAUGAAGGUGAAAAAAAAACAGGGCGAAGAGAAGCGUCAUUGUGAAAGUUGUGCUCCUCAGAGGGGGAAAAUCAUGUUGCUACAUGAGCAGUUCUGAAAAUGCUCUGCACUCAAAACAGUAGUGUUUGCAAAUCCACGCUGAUCAGCUGUUUCUUUAUAUAGAUCUGCAUGCAGUGAUCUGAAGCUGAGUGCUGGGCUUUGUCUCAGAUAACCGUUGAGAGGUGAGAGUAGAAAAGCAAUUAUUGAUAAAGAGUGUGCUAACAUGACAUUUACGUGUGUGGAGCAGUGAAGGUUACUCAAGGCCUUUCCGUGUCACGGUAUUCAUGUUGUCAAAAGAUGAGACCUAGACUGAUAUGACCCUACAUCAUACCUGUUUGCAUAUACGUAAGUAAUAGCUGUGCAUACACCCCUCAACUGCUUUGCAUACAUUCCUGAACUUACAGGGCAAGUGCAUGUGGGGAACAUAAACUGACUGAGAGGUGAAAAGUAAAGCUAAAUAUUAACCCAAGUGCAAAACUCUAGUAGAGGUUUUGGAUACCUGGUUGUUUGCUUUAUAGAAAAAGCUUUACAUUAACCGUAGAACACUAUCACUAAAAUUUGUAACAUCAUCACUAUCGCCGGGUGAUUUUUACCUGAAAUAAUACACCCAAGAAAAAGUACUUGUCAUCAAAAUAUAUCAAAAUAGGACAAUACAUGACAAAUUAAAGUGGUUUUCUUUUAUUUUUAACUGUGCAAUGUCCAAGGGAAGGGACCACAUAGAAAUGCAUCCAAAUAACUGAAAUAAGGCAUUCAUGAACAAAAUAUAUACAAACUGUAAGCUUAGUUUCUUUUCCACCCAUUCCUGGGGCAUGUGAGUCUUUCUUGGUGGAGACUCAGGGUCCUUGGCACAAUAACAGCUGGUUCAGGAGAGAGAACCAAAAUACGGCAUAUUUUGAGUGAGUUAAUGACCAGCUGAAUAAAAUAUUUCUUAUCACCACAUGAAUUCCCUUGAAAUUCACUACUUUGUGAUAGUUAUUCAUAACCACUGCACUAAAUAAAGAUGGCAUGCAAAUUCCAGGACCACUUGCCUACAUGCAGCUAUCAAAUCCACACAAACCUACUUUACCCUCUGUGACUGUUGCCGGGUGAAAAUCACCCUGUGAACACGUGCUUGUAGGAAAAAGCGGGUUUUGGAUCAGGGAAACAAAUAUGCCUUCAAAGAUGUCAAAGGCGAUGCUGAAGCUACCCAGGAACCCAUGAUACUCAGACAAACGCAACAUAAUGAAAAUCACAUAAGCAUGUUUGGUCGGGUGAAAAUCACCCGGUGAUAGUGUUCUAGGGUUAAAAAGAAGAAGGUCACUGUCAAUUCCUGUAAGUUUCAAAAACUUCUCACAGGAGCUUUAACCUACUAAGAAGUUCUCUUGUCUGUGCCUGAAAAAUAAAGGCAUGUUAGCUGGCAAUUAAGUGUUGAAUCAUUGUGCAACAAAUUUUUAUGUUUGUGUAGUAUAAUUACACCUUUUGUUUUUCUUCUCCACUUAAAAACAGAGCACCUUAUUGGGAAAAAAAACAUGUAUCCACUGGGUUCCCUUAUUCCACAAAUACCCUUACUAAGCAACAAGCAGGUCUGUUUUGUUACUCACACUCUACCUCAUUCGUGUCGUCACAAGCUUUAGUCCUGUUAUAGACACAAUAAAGACUCUGAGGAGCUAUUUGUGCCGCCCGAGCUAAAAAAAGAUUUUCUGUUCUAAAAAUAGAGCGCAAAAACCAUAAACAAUAGGGGUAAGAGUCCUGUUAUUACAGAGCUCAGGCUCCCUCAGCAUUUCUAAGAUUACAGGAGUUAGGAACAGGGGCAGACUGAGAGGCAUUACUGUUGCUGACGUGGACAUGUUGUCAUAAUGACUGUGCAGAAAGAAAAUACUAGGAAACAAUCUUCACCUGACCUUAAGUGCAGGAGGAAAUCCAGCUACAAUUGAGGUGUAAAUUUACCAUUGGAAGUGAUUCAACUAUGAGGGGGAGGUCUGUCUAAAAAUAGCCACUGAGGCAACAAUACCUGUCUGUAAAGUGUAAACCUGAGCUGGGUAAAAAUCUAAUCCAAGAAACUGGCUAUUUAUAGAAUAAGGGGAUUUCAAACAAGGAACAGACUUUCAGUUUUAAGGGCCUUUGUGUGUCUUUCUAUUUUAAGUCAAUGAAUUCCUGUUUAAUGACUCUAUCCAAUAGCCUGUCUUGCAGCCGCACCCACUUCCUGUUGACCAUAUUAACAUAGCUAUCAUCCUUCUUUAUCAUGGCCUGCGUGGGACCAUUUCUGCUUUAAAUCGGCAUCAAGGAUUACCUGACCCUCUGGUCAAUUUCCGAAGGUACAGUAGUAAAUCUGGCACAUAGCAUUUUAAAUGAUCCUUCACAUAUCCUGUUUACAGAAUAUGAAUUAUUGCCCUCGGGGAGAAGAUACAGAGCAAGCAGAUACAAAAGCAAUCACUACAAGCUCUCUUUCCUCCCAACAUCCAUCCACCUCUUGAACAAACUACCUGCAAUAUCUUAAAAGGUUCUUAAUUCGCUGAGAUAUUAUUCUCUAUCUCUUUAGUAUUCUUAAAAUUCUUUUAUUCUUUUAUUGUUUUUAAUUACUUAUUUUGGUUCUUAGAACCUUAAAUGUCACUCUGCACUUUAUAAAUAUUCCUUAUCAGUACUCAUUUAUCUGCCACUUUUGGUAGGCCUUUCUAAGUACAAUUGAAACUUGUUUCUUCUCUGCAACUAGGGCUGUGCAAUAUCUUUGGUCUGGCUCUGAAAAUGUACCCACUCGUGUGAAAUGAGAAGAUGAUGUGAUAUGUCUGUUAAUGCAGAACUGUCGACUGUCUGUAUGUGUUUCUGGUUCGCGCAUUAUGCAAUGCAGUUGUUUUUUAGCACUACUGACUGUCCACGACAAAUUUCGCUGCGGGGACAAUAAAGUUAUAUUGAAUUGAAUUGAAUUGAAACUGUUGUUCUUAUCUAGCAUAAGGAUGGCUGGAGGAGGCGGAAUAUAUGACCUAUACUGCAGCCCGUCAACAGAGGGUGCUGUUCUCGGAGUGGCUUCACCCAGCAAGGAGGCAGACGGCAUCCAUUCUAUAUACAGUCUAUGUAUUUGACCAAUUUGAAACUUUGGACGCUGCUGAAUAGAGGUGGGGCAAAUAUGAAUGCUGCAACAGUCAACGCCCUGACUCAUCUGAUACAGACGUUGCAUCACUGGUGUCAAAUAUCAAUAGCUGAAUUUGAAAUAAUAACUCAGUGCUAUAAAUAGAUUGCUAUUCCAGGUUGACUCACUGUGUCGCUACUUCAUGAUUCCUCAUGGCAGUAAUACUUUAGUCAAUGUGAUGUAAUUUUACGAUUGUCUUGAAGGAUAUCAGCUAUCUCAGAACCACUGUGUAGGGAUAUUAUAGCUAUCAUAGAUAAGGAAUAUAGGGUAUCGUGGUAUUUCACAGUAUCAUACUGCACUGUACUGUAUUGUGGCGCAUUGUAUCAUGUUUUGUCAUAUUGCAUCAUAAUGUAUCAUAUAGUGUUGUGUCUUGUUUUCAUGUAUGGUAUUGCAUCAUACCUACUCUGCUGUACAAUAUUAUAAAGCUUUCCAAAAGGACAGUGACAGCAGCAGAAAAUGAUCACUAUGUGGAUAUGUUAUCUCAGUGUUUUCUCUAUCAAACAAAUGCUUAACUUUAGAUCUUUUCGACUAAUAUCCACAAUCAGCAGCCGAACUGCUUCUCUUUGUUUCCAGCUCAAGCUUAUACCACUUGUGAUCCUCUGGACUAGAUAUGAUCAUUUGAAGAGGCCCAAAAUUAAUACUUUUAAACAACUGCUCUGCCAUAAUCUUGUUCAAUCCUGCAUGUGUUUUUAUGCUUAUCCCCUCCCUCCAUCAUCCAAUCAAAAUCCUUGAUUAAUGAGUUCAAAGGAUCCAGCAUAUGGAUGGUCAGACCCACAAAUACACAAGUCAGAUUAAAAUAAAGAAGCUAGAGCUGCUAUUGUGGAGGCAUUAUUGCUCAUUAAAGCAUUUUUCUGUAGGGAUUUCAGAGUUGGUGUUUGUCCAGAGAGGAAGGGGGGUGCCUACAGAAUUAUUAGUGGCCUCCAGAUGUUCAUGCUUUUGUCUGUUUGACCAGUGACAAAACAACUGUAAGGCCUUUCUUUCUGCAGGGAAGUGUGCUGCUUGAACUCUGUGACAUUAAGGUUACUCUGUAAUGUUUUUGGACAGGGAGUGAUGGAGGAGGGUUCUGGGAGAAGGGGUGUGGGUGCCUUCCUUUAAUUUGAAGUUACUUGAAGGAGUCAGUAGGCCAGUCCUGCUGCCUGAAGCCACUGGUCUUAGGUCAGGCUCAAGCCCUUUAAGCAUGCAUCCUUCAGUUUGUUGGCCUGUAUUUUGCUGUGAUCAUAUUCCAGCUAAAGCAUGCCUAUUAACUCUUUUACAAGGCAUUGACAGCCUUUAUACAAAGUGUAUGACCAGAUAACAUGAUUUCAAGAUAUAGAAUUUCAAAGGUUAAAAGCCUCCUGUGAUAAUUGAAUGACUCAUUUCUAAACAGCAAACGAUUGCAGUAGCGAGAGUUCACUGAGUACGGUGCCAUCAGUCUAAACCACAUCAAACAGUCAUUCUUGUUUCUUUUUUUCUCUCACUAUCUCAUCUUUUUCUUCUCUUUUCCUUCUUUUCUUCUCUAUGCUUCCACUGUCAAGAAUACCUGUACCGCGUUCGCUUCUUUCAUCCCACCCCCUAGAUUUCUUCUUUACCCGUCUUGUGCCUCCCAUAUGCCACAAUCAUGUUGCCUCAGGGUGUGAACCUGUGUGCACUCUGAACACAGGGUGGAGGAAGGGGGAAGAAAAGAAGAGAGUGAGGCUAGAUGGGGUGAGUUGUUUUGAAGAGCAAAGGUUGUUAUUAGGUGCUUCAUAAUGUGUGGAAAAACUCAGCAGCUGUUGCAGCAAAGCGGAGUUAAUGUCACUAAGGCAUAAAAACAGCAAUAAUAAAUUUGUUGUAAAAACAGAAUGAGUAACCUUAACGCGGGUCAGAUUAUGGUUUUGCACAGAACAUCGGUGUAAAUCAUGCAAUAUGCUACGUAUAAAGUUCAUAAUACAGUAUAUCAAAUCAAAGGAUAUCACAUAAAGUAUUGUAGAGGUCAGAGGAUUGGAGAGGGUCAGUUUAUUGAACACACAGACGAGUAAAAACCAGGUUAGUGUGUCAAGCACCACACCGCAGCCCUCCGUGUAUCGAGGCAGCUCACUAAAAGGCCCCUCUUUUUAGCUGUGCGGCUGCUGGUAUCUCACGUCUCAUUAACUCUCAGCCAACAGGUGAGAGCACAGCUGCAAGAAUCUGCAUACAUCUGUCACAGCAGAGUGGCCGGUCAGAGGCAGAGCGAGGGGAGGGCCUCGUAAGUGACACAGCUGUCCCUGCGAGCACAUACUGUUGAUGCAUGUGGCAGAUAGAUGAAUGUUUGCUGAGAGUGUCAUAUACGAAGAGUACCACACAUACAGUUCUGGCCCUGGUGUCCAAAUAUAUACUCACAAUUUAACCUAAAGGGAUAUUCCGGCAUAAAAGUAAGCUAGGGUCAAACAUACCGUAACACCGAGUUAGACACCCCGUCAAGAGAUGAUUGUUGCCGACCGCUUGCUUCUCUAGUUAUACCAACUUUAGUAACGACCGCAGGAUAGCAAUCCAGAGAGUCACACGCUCAACCUAAAAGCCUCUCUAUAGCCACAAAUAAUGCUCAGAACAGCACCUAACUUCAUCAACAGAACAUAUAGGGUCCCAGCCAUAGUACUAGCCAUCAAACAUCUUUUUAACUUUGGCAAAGAGACUAAACACAACUCACCUACUCUCUUCCAGCAGCCGCUUGUUUGUACAGGCAAGCUCAGGCAAGUCCAUUGACUGUGGCGGGGUCACGCAGCUCAAGGAAGAACAUUUAUGAUCAUUACUUUAUAAUUUCCUUGAAGUAAUAAUCAUCAUGUUAAUCAUUUUGCACUGCAGACACGGUAGUUCUUCUGCUUUGGCGUCUCUGUCUGAUUGCAUUUCCAUGAAGAAAUGAUCAUAAAUGUUCUUCCUUGAGAUGCACCACCCCACUGCAGUUGAUGGACUCACCCGGAUCAUUUCCUCAAUUUUACGCUGGAAUAUCCCUUUAAGGGUGUUGAUUUUAGGUUUUUAGUAAAUUCUUUAUAAUGUAACAAUUAAAAAAGAGGAGAAUGAGACUUGUGAUUGUCUGAACUUUUCAAGUCCUAUUAAAGCAACAGAAGUGAAAAAUGUCAUUAUGUUUACUACUUGAACUACUUUUAUUACUGUUUUAUCAUUCCUAGCAUUCCACUCUUUCUCCUUAUUGUAAUAAAGUUACCUCUACUGACACACUGCCUAAAGGAGUGCCUCAAACACACAAUAACAAAUGACGGGGUUUGAUGGCGUCAUGAAAAAGCACGAAAUUAUGCGGGCUGUUGUCUCCGUUGUUAAACCACUACUGUUGGUGUGAUUCAGGCUGGAAACAUGCACACAGACAAGAGAGCUGAUGGAGGUUUUAUGCAUGUGACGUUAAGUCGCAAAUGUCAAUGUUGUGUUGUUUUGGUCUAACGCAUCAGCAGUAUUUUUAGAAACAUUAGCAGGUUAUUGACCUCUUUGAUCCCUUGCUGGUAUGCUGUAUAGUCUAAUGUUUUAAAUUCUUCACCCACAGAGUAUCUAGCUUGUAGAAACUAGAAAAAGCUUCACAGUUGGAUCUACACUACAUGUUGUGGACUUAGUUAAAAGUUAGGAAGGAUUUUACACAAAUUGAACCCUUUAAUCCUCUCUUAAAUACCCCAAAAUCAACUGCAUUUUACACACAUAUAUUCCUGAUUUUCUGCUGCGUUUACAUUGUAGUUUAAAAGCGCACACAUUUACGCACACAAUAUAAAAUCCCCUGCAGCUAGCUCUCCACACAUCCCACCAGCGCUGUUUCUGGAGUCCCCAUGUUCAGGCUGAUAAGUGAGGCCUAACGGUACCACUUCCUUCUCCACCGUGAUUAAUGGCUCACUAUCAGGCACUGCGAGCUGCUACAGCAGAACGUGCAGGUCAGGGGUCAGGGGAGGAGAGAUAACCACCUGCUGGAGCAGUUUGGAGCCCCUACAUUUAUCACCACAGCCGGGUAUGUUGACGUGAGUGGUAGUCGUCAGGAAAUUUUGUGAAGGUUGUCUUUGUUCCUGCCGUGGAAAACAAGCUAACAGAUGUUUCAGCUGAGCUUCAACUACCUGGAAACAUCAUGGAAACAAAGGCAGGCUUUGAAACAAGACGUUAGCUGCACCAAGUUGGUGUAACAAGACAGUCAGCAAAGGGCUCUUACACCACUAUGGAUGAGGUCGACAGACGAAAAAUCAGCCACUCCUUUAGCAAGUUUGCUGAGUAAUUAGCAACCACUGUGUUAUGCAGGGGUGUUUUUUUUCAGGAUGUGUGUUUACAGAUACCUGCUGGUGCUUCAUCUGCGUUAACAACCACCCUUACCUUUGGCGGCCCCACCCAUUCAGUCAGCAUUACAGCUGAGGUGACACCUUUCCAACAAUGAUCAUGGAGCACCCGCCCAGGCAAACACAAAAAGUGAGUUAAGGAAAGAAGUCAGAAGUGUAGAGAUUAGAAAGCUAUUUCUGAGGCACUCCUGGGGUGAGCAGACAAAGACCAGGAGAGCUUCCACCUUGUUAAUACAAAUCACAAAACGUAAGCCUCCCAGUUUAAUUCAAAUACCCUCAUAGCUAAUCUCCUGCUUUGGUUAAACUGCCAAUUCUAGUGCUGCAGCUGAAACCAUCGCAGAACUGUUUAUUGUGUCUUUCUAAAGAAGUGAUUACAGUCUUUUUAAAUACUGAACCUCCGCACACCUGCAUUCUGCGCAGAUACACUGUGUACAAGCUGCAAAUCAUUUUAUUAUAUAAUAGUCCUAAGAGGGCGUGUAAUUUCACAGCUAUGAGACGGUGAUGACAGACCUCUCAUAGAAGUUCAAAAACCCGUAAGAAGUCUUGGCAGUGAUACUGAGGGCUAAAAAAAAAUCAUUUGUGGAAACUUUUGAGACAACAAGUUCUCCUGAAAUAGCAGCUUCAAUGAAAAAUAACAAAAAGAAAUGAGAGCCUUGGUUAGGAGCUGUUAUUUUUGAGGAUUUAAUUUGAUGGAAAUGGAGAGAGCUUGGCAGAUUUUAAGUUUGAGCCAAUCAUGAGACACACUGACUGCUAGAGCUGCCUUGUGCAUGAUUCUCAAGUAAUAAGAAUCUGCCCUGAAAGCCAAAGACACAACUAAUUCAUUGCAUUAAUGCACUGCAAGACCUUUAUUUUCCGACAAAACCUGUAAAAUUAUAACAUUUUGCCUCUUUUUUAUGCAUAAAAAACCUUAAAUGUCAGAGAGAAAUGUGUACAACUGUCUUAAUCUGAGUGACUUUAAGGGACCUGUCUCGCAGUCUGCCAUUAAACUCACAAAAGUACGUCCACGCAACUACAUUUAGUCCUGUUAAUCCCCCGGGGUGUGUGUUAACAAAGGUAAUGAGCCACUUAUCACAUAGUUAGUUGAGGAUUAAUUACCUGGUCAGUGUUACUCAAACAGGACACCCUGAAGACACCCUGAGGGCUGUCUGCACCACACACUUGUCUGUAAUGCUGCAUGCUGCUCUGAAGCUCAUUAUACUGCGAGUGGGAGCGCAGGGACAGUUCACAUACACACACACACACACACACACACACACAUGCACAGUACACACUGAGCCUGUACUGCAGAGAAAUGAUUGAGUGUUUUUAGCUAAGAAGCUUUACUGCAAAAGGGAUUCACUGCUAUGACCAAAAACUGAUCCGAAUGUGAGAAGUGUUGCAGGGGUUUACUGAAAACUGUGACCCUGCAUGAGUGGUAAGAACUGAGGAUCCAGGCCAGGCCUCAAGACUCCUGCAUUUUUCAUAACUACAGAGAAAGAGAGAGAGAGAGAGACACGCACACAGAGAGCAAUUGACUCACAGCACUCUCAGUCCUGACACUUUCUGCAGACUGUACACAGCUGUCUCUGCAGUAAGCAGGCUUUUUUUUUGGGAUAAUCUUCCUCUAAAUGGGAAUUUGAAAUGUGACUACAUAAAUCUGCUAGUUUUCAAAGCCCUGGAGUGUUCAUUAUGUUGCACGCAGAGUACAAGUAGCUUUUCUCUCUGCUUCCAAGGGCUCUUUGAUUAUGAAGGAGUCUCCUCAGGAAUGUUAUGCUAAACUCUGCGCUGCAGACGUCAGGACUUUGAGGUUGUGGAUGCAUACCACUAAUGCCAUUCAUUUUACUCUGCACACAUGUCCAGUGAGCGAGAGAGAAAGAGAGAGAGAGGGAGAAAGAGAGAGAGAGAGAGCAGUGAGGGAAUCCCCAUGGGGCCUUCUCUUUUUCUCUUUUGGUGAGCACUAAACGCUUAACAGAACAGCUGCAGACACAAGUGUGUGAUGUUGGGAAAACCUGCUGCAGAACAUCAAACCACCCAAAAAGCCAUCUGAGUCUGACCAAAGAGAAAUAAACUCGACUUCAAUAGAGCCUGUGUUGGCUUUCUGGCUUCUUUUUUUCUAUGUUUGAUGUCUUACUUUUCUUUAAAGGCUAUGAUCAGACCUGCAUCAAAUACUACACUUUAAUAGUGCAGACACUUAGGCUGCAGUAAACAGUGGAGACAGUGGUGAGAAGUAAUCAAGUACAAAGACUAAACAGAUAAACUACCCCUGAUGGCUGACACGUAUAAGAUUACGUGUAUUGUUUUACAGUUGUUGAGCUUAUGCACACCUGAUAAUAGGAAAGGCUGGGAUUUAUUGAGUAAAGAUGCGUUCAUUACUCACCAUACUCGUGAUUCUGACUGAAAUCAACCCAAAGAUCAUCUCUGACCCUUUAGUAUGUCAAACCAGAGCACUUCUGUGCAUGCCAUAAUGUUGUUUCAUGUUUAUGUCCUUUGGGCUGGAAAUUUUAUGAGACUGGCAUCAAAGUCCAAAUGUUUGUGGUAAAACUUCACUGACAUUAUUGUUGAUCAGACUGUAAAUGUGUAUACACAUCACAUCAUGCAGGGCAGACGAGGAUACACACACAAAUUACUGGCAUGUUCACGAUCAUCCUUGGUCUUUUACCUUGUGAUGAGGUGGGUCGCCAGGUACUGUGAGUGCUGGGAUUUUGUUAUUACUUGCUUUUCUGAUGCUGAUGCCAGCUGAAACCACUGCGUAGUAUUCCUUUAAGACGUCCUCCCCGUGGAUUAAAAGUGUUUGAACCCAAGAACAUUUGUUUUCCUUUGAAGACACAAAUUUUGUGAGGUGCAAUCUUGUUAACCUACACACCAGUGAUGCCAGUUUGGUAUUGGUUUUUCAGGAACAAUAGUGGUCAUCAGUCGUUAAUGAGAGUGAUACUCCCUGGAACCAAUUUAUAUUCAAAGUUAAAAUUACAAUCUUUCUAUCAAAAUGUGCAAUUUGUAAUAUAAACACUAGAGCAAAUGCUGUUAAAAUACCUUCAGGAAAUUUUGAAUCAAAACAUUAAAUGAAACAUUGAGUGAAAACAGACUCAGAAUUAAAGACAAACUGCCAUCUAGGCUGAAGUAGUACAAACUUUAAAGCUACUGUAAGGAUUUUUUCCAUGUUUAUGAAAUACAGUUAAAUUCGUGUUGAUGACUUUUUUAUAACAAACAAAAGCAAAUAAGACCAUCAGCAACAGGACUGACAGUUUUUAUACAGUUAUUUGUAAUACCCUACAUUACUGGGGGGGUCUACUAGGUAGCUAAAGAAAUGCCCCUGUUUUCACACUUUACACACGUUCACAGUAAAUGAUAUAUUUGACUGUAAAAAGUCAGCAGGAUGAAAUUUUCUGUCAUAAGACACCUCUAAGCAUGUGACAGAUGAGAUGAGCCACAAUUGUCACAAACCCAAAGUUCCUCACAAGAGCUUUAAUUUAUCAAUUUUAUUGAUAAUCAGUAAACUAAAAUAAUGAUGUAAUCAACCAAUGAUAUGUUAUCAAUCAAUAAAAAGCCACCAGGUUGUUAUUUGUGUAAGCAGCACCCCUUCUUUUGACUUUGGAUUUCUGUAAUUGGUCUAGUAUUUUCAAAAUGAGGUGCCACUUCUUUGUCAUUAACACUGAACUGUUAAACAGUAAUCAAACUUUUGUCAUCUUCGUAUAAACUUUGCCAAGUGUUUUAAUUUGACAUAUUUUUGAUUAACAUUGUAUAGUUUUGUUUGCAGGCUGACUUGCCAGCAGGUUACUGGUUGGUGGUAAGGACUGUUAACCUUAAGCUGCUGCAUGUGUUAAUCUCCAUACAUUCAUUAUCUCCCCCUCUUUGUUGUUUGUAAGAUUACAAUGGAAAAAAACAACAAGGUACUUGUUCAUCCCGUAUUACAACCAAGCCCUGUUUCCUUCCAAACCUAGGAGAUUUAGAGGAACAAAGGGAAAUCAGGGGGAUAAAACAACAACUUCUUAACGCAGAGACAGUGGUUUUACCGAUAGGAUUCCCUACUUAGCUGAUUUUACCUAAGUGUUAUCAUCGAAAAAAACACAGUGGAAGAAAAAGCAAUCCCAUUGUUCUGAAUCGGAUGUUUACCAUGAUGUGAUCUGCUGCUUCCAUAUGGUGAUCUCUAAAUGGUGUCUCCCCCUCAAAGUGUUGGGAUUGUAAUCCCUCAAUGUCAGAUUAGUAAAUGCUUAAAUUCCUUCUGCUAUUUAUUACCAACAUAUUCCUGGUUAAGGGGUGCAACGGCGAAGUGGAUAUGAAAGAAAAAUGAGAGCAAUAAAGACAAAAAUAUGAGAAACUGGAGAUGGAAAUUAGUAAUAGCAGAAAUAUUGGAUAAGUGGGAAUAUUAAAGAUAUCUGGAGCUGUUAGAGAAGAUAGAUGGAGAGUAGACAGAUUGUACUAUGAAGGCAGAAAUCUGAAUGAAACGUGUGAUUCAUGAGUGGAGGUGGAUGUUCGAGGUCAGUGUGCGCGUGUGAAAAGUGAAUAAUAAUAGGUCAGAAGGUGGGAAUAAAGAAUCAGUGUGACAAUAUAGAAGAUCAGACAAUCUUCCUUCUAUGACAAUGACUUGAAAGUCACAUAAAAAGUACAAGUGGUUUAUAACUAACACUGAUAAUUUGAUCUCCUUACUCUUAUCUAUGCAUGUUAAAACUGUCCACUCAAAUACACACCUCUGACUUUUCCAAAUUCUUUCAUACUCAUAAACACGCUGAGACUGACACGCACAUACAUAAAUCCUCAGGGGGGGUAGUUCGGCCGCAGCCUCAUGCUGUGAUAAACAUCCCAGGGGGAUUUCAGUCACACUGAUCCUCUGAGAUUGCGUAUGUGUCAAUAUGUAAACAUGUGUAUCUGGAUAUAUUGCUCUGUUUUUGUUUUCAGGGAUGUACUGUCUUCCAUCAUGUGGCUUUUGAUGUGGCGGCGGUGUUGUUGACGUCCACAUGGUUACGCUGUGGCCUUUUGAGGGCUGAAUUCAUUAAAGGAUUGUUUGACCAUGAAACAGUGAAGCAGGAUUAUGACAAAGCUCAGAGUGUAUAAAAUAAAACCUCAAUAAUAAACACGUGAGGUGCUUGUACAGUACCAGUUUUUCAUAUAACUACAUACUUAGGUCUUUUUUACUGUAGGGUGUGUUAUCAUUUAUGAAUUAAACAAUGAAAUUGCAAAGAAAUGAGUUAGGCCAUGCAUUUUGCCUCUGUUCAUGUAUUACCUUUUUCCUAUUGGUGCAUAUUCCUCUGCAUGAUGGCAGGUUCCACUAACAGUCCUUCAACAGAGUUAGGAGUGUUAGUUACUGUUAAAGAGAAAAUUUGUGUUGGAUGUAGGGCUGGGUGAUAAAAUGAUAAAGAUAUAUAUCGAAAAUUAAUUUCCCUCAAUAUCAAUACAAAACAUGGUCAAUAUCCCAUUCGAUGGUCUGCAUUCUACCAUGUUUUGGUCGACUAUACAAAUGGCCAAUGAAAAGGGGAGUUGCUCUGGGUCCACUUAGCGCUGAAUCAGAACAAAGUAGCAAACAACAGCGUAGUAGCAGGCUGCAGCUACACGCAAACAUAGCACUUUAACAUGUGAAACCAACAGCACUCAACAGAUGAUGACAUCGUCGACAAGACCGGCACGAAACACUGGUGGUGUGGAGGUAUUUUGUUGCUGGGGGUCGGACAUUAAGCAGAGUAAUUUGAACUGCAAAUUAUGUCGAGAGUAUGUUCUCGCAAAGUCGGUAAUACUUCAAAUCUUUUUCACCACCUGAAGCAGAGCCACAAAAAACCCAGAGCACAGCAAGGAGCCCAUGGCACCUGUGCAGCCGAAAAAGCCGACCUCAGCGCCUUACAACAAAACAUUCAAGAGACACAAAGACCUCACAGAUGCAGUAGCUUAUUGUAUUGCAAAAGACAUGCUACCAAUAAGCACUGUUAAAUUUCAUUUUUUGCAUCAUGAUAUAUAUAUUGAUAUCCAAUGAUAUGAAAAAAAUAUAUCUUGAUAAUCUUUUCCCCAUAUCGCCCAGCCCUAGUUGUAUAUCUAAAAAUCUCAAUGAAAAAUUUUAUGAUCCAAGCUUUUUUUGUCCAGAAUGUUUUCAUGCUUUUACUUUUUUUUUUUGCAUUGAUGUUUUUGAGAGAAGUUAACUCAGAUGAAGUGCUCAUACAUUCAUAGAUUGCAUUUUUUUGUUUUUUUCUCCACCCUACUUUCACGUGUUGCACUUACUAACACCUUGUGAUGAAGCAUGUCGAAGCAAACAUCCACAUGCUCAUUAGUAGGUGUGAUCACAGACAGCCUGUCGGCUUUGCAGAAAGCAUACGUGAAAGAAUCCAUGGCUGCGUCCUCAGAUCACCUUAAAUAAUCUCUCCUCAUGUGACCCAGAUUACAUCGAUCUCCAUAGGCUUGUGGUUGGAGCGCGGCUGAUCCUACAGUCCAGAUUCUGCUGGUACUAUGCUGCACUGUGCACCAGGCAUACAAAGAGGGCCUUGUGCUGAUGCAACAAAAGGCAACAGAG